Non-coding RNA from Callithrix jacchus (white-tufted-ear marmoset), 46417 nucleotides. NCBI's taxonomy places the organism in Eukaryota, Metazoa, Chordata, Mammalia, Primates, Cebidae. The record is from RefSeq and is a predicted model, not a curated record.
CUUCCUUCCUUCCUUCCUUCCUUUUUGAGAGGGAGCCUCACUCUCUCACUCCGUUGCCCAGGCUGAAGUGCAGUGGCACAAUCUCAGCUCUCUGCAACCUCCACCUCCCGGGUUCAAGCAAUUCUCCUGCCUCGAUCUUCCGAGUAGCUGAGAUUGCAGGUGCCAGCCACCACACCCAUCUAACUUUUGUAUUUUAGUAAAGACAGCGUUUCACCAUGUUGGCCAGGCUGUUCUCUAACUCCUGACUUCAAGUGAUCUGCUCAACUCAGCUUCCCAAAAUGCUAGGAUUACAUGCAUGAGCUGCCCGACCCAGUCCUUUUUUCAGUUCUAUCACUUUUUUUGCUAUAUGUGUAUGAGAACCUUAUUAUAAGGGUCAUGUACAUUUAAAAUUGUUGUGUCUUAUUAAUAGAUUGAUCUGUCAUUAUGAAUGUCAGUAUUCAUUCCUGACAGUAUUUCUUUUUCUGAGUAUGUUUCUGGAUGUGUCUGCUAUUAUUAACAUAGCCCCUCUAGCUUUUUAAAAUUAGUGUUUGUACUAUAUAUAUAUACAUAUAUGUUACUUUUAGCUGUUUCAUUUCCUUAAAUUUAAAGUGGGUGUCUUAUAGGUAGCAUAUACCUGGGUGUUGCUUUAUUAUCUAAUCUGAUAAUCUCAACUUUUUUAUUAGGAUGUUUAGGCCAUUUACAUUUAAUGUAAUUAUAGACAUGGUUUGAUUUGCUAUACUACCUAUUCAUUUGUAUGUGAGCCAUCUUUUCAUUGUUCUUUUUUCCAUUUUUGACUGUUUUCUGUAGUACUGAGUGCUUUUUUUGUAUUUCAUUAUAUCUCUUGGCUUGUUAGUUAUACAUCUGAAAUUUUUUUUUCUGUUUUAAAUAGGAUUUAUCAUAUACAUCUUUUAACUUAUCACAGAUUACUUUCAAAUAGUAUUUUACUACCUCAUGUGUAAUGCAGAAACCGUACAAUAGUAUAUUUUCAUUUCUCUCUCCUGUUUUUUAUACUAUUGUUUUUAUACAUAUAAUUUUACAUGUUAGAAACCCUAUAAUACAUUGGGUUUGUUGUUGUUUGUUUUUACCUUAUUGCUGUUGGCUAGGGUCAGCAAACAUUUUCUAUAAAGGCAUACCUUGGAGACAUUGUGGGUUUGGUUCCAGACCACCAUAAUAAUACAAAUAUGCAAAAAGUGAAUAUCACAAUAAAGUGAGUCAUGUAAGUUUUUUGGCUUCCCGGUGCUUAUAAAAGUUUUGCUCAUACUACACUGUAGUCUGUUAAGUGUGCAAUAGUGUUAUGUCUACAAAAAAGUUACCUUAAUUUAAAAAUGCUUUAUUGCUAAAAAAUGCUAACAAUUUAAGCAUUCACUGAGUCAUAAUCUUUUUGCUGGUGGAAGGUCUUUUCUUGUUGAUGACUGUGGACUGAUCAGGGGUCGGGUGAUGAAGCUUAGGGUGGCUAUGGCAAUUUCUUAAGUCAACAGUAAAGAUUGCAACAUCAGUUCAUGCUUCCUUUCAUGAAAGAUUUCUCUGUAGUAUGUGAUGCUUUUUGAUAGCAUUUUAUGCACAGUAACUUUGAAAAUUGGAGUCAGUCCUCUCAAACCCUGCUCUGCUUUAACAACAUAAGUUUAUAUAAUAUUCAAGUCCAUUGUUGUCAUUUAAACUAUGUUCACAGUGUUGUCACCAGGAUUAGUUUCCAUCUCAAGAAAUCGGAUGAAAUAUUUGCUCAUCCAUAAGAAAAAAUUCCUCAUCUGUUCAAAUUUUAUCAUGAGAUUGCAGCAACUCAGUCACAUCUUCAGGCUUCACUUCACUUCUAGUUCUCUUCAAUUCUAGUUCUCUUGCUAUUUCUACCACAUCUGCGGUUUCUUCCUCCAUUGAAGGCUUGAACCUCUGAGUCAUCUGUGAGGACUAGAAUCAACUUCUUCCAAAUUCCUGUUAAUAUUUAUAUUUUGACCUCCUAUGAAUCAUGAAUGUUCUUAAUGGCUUCUAGAAUGGCGAAUCCUUUCCAAAAUGUUUUCAGUUUACUUAGUCCAUAUCCAUCCAUCCAGAGGACCCACUUUCAGUGGCAGUUAUAGCCUUAUGAAAUGUAUUUUUUCAGUAAUAAGGCUUGAAAGUUGAAGUUACUCCUUGAUCCAUAAGCUGCAAAAAUGGAUGUUGUGUUAGCACGCAUGAAAGCAACAUUAAUCUUCUGGGGUUUUUUGAGAUGGGUUCUAGCUCUCUUGCCAAGGCUAGAGUGCAGUGCCAUGAUAUCGGCUCACUGCAACCUCUGCCUCCUGGGUUCAAGCAAUUCUCUUGCCUCAGCCUCCUGAGUAGCUGGAACUACAGGCAUAUGCCACCAGGCCUGGCUAAUUUUUUGUAUUUUUUUAGUAGGGUUUUACCAUGUUGCCCAAGCUGGGAGGCAGUCUGCCUGCCUGGCCUCCCAAAGUACUGGGACUUAAAUUAUUUUGUACAUGUACAUCUCUUGGACCAGGUAUAUUGCCAGUGAGCAAUAAUAUUUUGAAGGGAAUUAUUUUUCUUAGCAGUAGGUCUCAACAAUGGGCUUAAAAUAUUUGGUCCACCAUGCUGCAAACAGAUGUGUUGUCAUCUAAACUUGGUAGUUUCAUUUAAAGAGCACAGGCAGAGUAGAUGUAGCAUAAUUCUUAAGGGCCUUAGGAUUUUCAGAAUGGUAAAUGAACAUUGGCAUCAAUUUAAAUCACUAGCUGUAUUAGUGAGUCAGCAACUCUCAACAAGAGAGUCAGCCUAUUUUUCGAAACUUUGAAGCCAGGCAUGAACUUCACCUCUCUGGUUGCAAAAGUCCUAGAUGGCAUCUUCCAAUAUAAAGCUAUUUCAUCUACAUUGAAAAUCAGUUGUUUAAUGUAGCCACCUUCAUCAAUGUUAUUGUCUAGAUCUCUUAGAUAGCUUGCUGCAGCUUCUACAUCAGCAUUUGCGACUUCACCUUGUACUCUUACGUAAUGCAGUAGCUUCUUUCCUCAUACCUCAUAAACCAGCCUGUGCUAGCUUCUGACUUCUUCUGCAUUUUCCUCACUUCUCUCAGCCUUCAUAGAACUGAGGAGAGUUAGGGACUUGCUCUGGGGAUUAGAAUGGCUUAAGGGAAUGUUGUGGCUGAUUUGAUCUUCUAUCCAGACCACUAAAACUUUGUCCAUAUCAGCAAUAAGGCUCUUUUGCUUUCUUAUUAUUUGUGUGUUUACUGGAGUAGCACUUUUAAUUUCUUUUGAGUUGUAUGUCUUUGCAUUCACAACUUGGCUGACUGGUCUAAGAGGCCUAGCUUUCAGACUGUUUGUCGUUUGACAUGCCUCUUUGCUAAGCUUAAUCAUUUCCAGCUUUCUAUUUAAAAAGAGAUGUAGGCCAGGCACAGUGGCUUAUGCCUGUAAUUCCAGCACUUUAAGAGGCCAAGGCAGGAGGAUUGCUUGAACUCAGGAGGUGGAGGUUGUAGAGAUCAUACCACUGCACUACAUCCUGGAUGACAGAGCAAGACCCUGUCUCAAAAUAAAAUGAGAGAUGUGCAAUUCUUCUUUUUGUUUGAGCACAUAGAAGCCAUAGUAUGAUUAUUAAUUGACCUAAUUUCAAUACUGUUGUGUCUCAGAGAAUAGGGGGCCUGAGGAGAGGGAGAGAGGUGGGGGAAUGGCUGGUCAAUAGAGCAGUCAGAACACAUACAACAUUUAUAAAUUGUUUGCUGUCUUAUAUGGAUGUGGUUUGUGAUGCCACAAAACAAUUACAAUAGUUACAGCAAAUAUCACCAAUCACAGAUCACCAUAACAGAUAUAAUCAUCAUGGCAAAGUUUGAAAUAUUUUGAGAAUUAGCAAAAUGUGACACAGAGAUACAAAGUGAGCACAUGCUGUUGGAAAAUUGGUACCGAUAGUCUUGCUUGAUGCCAUAUGCCUUCAAUUUGUAAAAAAAACAAUAUCUGGAAAGUUCAAUAAAGUGAAGUGCAAUAAGUGAGGUAGGCCUGUCAAUAUUUUAGGAUUUCCAGACCAUAUGGUUUCUGUUGCAUCUACUCACCUCUGCCAUUAUAGCAUGAAAGCAGCCAUAGAAAAUACACAUAAAUGAGGCUGGGUGCAGUGGUUCAGGCCUUUAAUCCCCGCAUUUUGGGAGGCUGAGGUGGAUGGAUCACUUGAGGUCAGGAAUUCAAGACCAGCUUGGCCAACAUGGCAAAACCCUGUCUCUACUAAAAAUACAAAAGUUAGCCAGGUAUGGUGAUGCAUGCCUGUAGUCCCAGAUAAUAGGGAGGCUAAUAAGGCAGGAGAAUCGCUUGACCCCAGGAGAGGGAGGUUACAGUGAGCCAAAAUUGUGCCACUGUACUCCAGCCUGGGCCACAGAGCAAAAUUCUGUCUCUAAAAGCAAGGAAAAGAAAAUACACAUUAAUGAUUGUGUGUGGCUGUGUUCCAAUAACUAUAUUUAUUCUCAUACUGUAGCUUGCCAACCCUUGCUUUACACUGUCAGUUACCUUCUAAAGAGAUUAAAAAUCAUAAUAUCUAUUAUGUUUAUUCAUAUCCUGGUACUGUUUCUUCUUUCCUUAUGUAGAAUCAAAUUUCAUUCUGGUCUCAUAUUUCUUCUUUUGAAAUGAUUUCCUUUAAUAUUUUUAUAGAACAGGUAUAAUAGCAAUGAAUUAUGUCAGUUUUGUCUGAAAAAGUGUUUCAUGUUUGAAAUGUACUUUUACAGAUAUGUAAAUCGAUGUUGGUUAACUUCUUUUUUCUUCAGCACUUUAAUGAAAUCACUCAGUUAUCUUCUGGCUUGUAUAGUUUCUCUGGCUGCCUUCAAGAUUUUUUUGUCUUAAUUUUUAGCAGUGUGAUGUGUCUAUAAGUGAUUUUCUUCGUAUUUAUCCUUUUGGGGGCCUCUUAAUUUCUUUAGUCCUUUUUUCCUUUUCUUAAAGAUCAGUUUUGGUCUGUCUCCCCAAGUGGGCUGAAAAAAAAAAAAGAAGAAAAAACAUAGUUUAAAAAUUAAUUUUAGAAAAAUUUCAGCCAUCAUUUCUUCAAAUAUUUAUCCUGUUCCAUGCUCCUCUCUUCCCCUUUUCUCUCUGCCACUCAAAUAACAGGUAUAUUUAACCUUUUUAUUGGUUCAUGGCUCCUGGAUACUCUGCUUUCUUAGUUUUUAAUAUGUCUUUCAUUUUGUAUAAUUUCUUUUUUUUUUUUUUUUUUUUUUGAGGCAGAGUUUCACUUUUGUUACCCAGGUUGGAGUGCAAUGGCGCCAUCUCGGCUCACCACAACCUCCGCCUCCUGGGUUCAGGCAAUUCUCCUGCCUCAGCCUCCUGAGUAGCUGGGAUUACAGGCACGCGCCACCAUGCCCAGCUAAUUUUUUGUAUUUUUAGUAGAGACGGGGUUUCACCAUGUUGACCAGGAUGGUCUCGUUCUUGACCUCAUGAUCCACCCACCUUGGCCACCCAAAGUGCUGGGAUUACAGGCGUGAGCCACCGUGCCCGGCCCAUUUUGUAUAAUUUCUAUUGACCUGUCUUCAGGUUCACUGUUUCUUUUCUCAACCAUGUCUAGUGUGCUCAACACCUGUUGAAGAAAUUCUUUUUCUUUAAGAUCAUGUUUUAAAUUCUAGCAUUUUCAUUUAACUCUUUGUUCUGGUUUUCAUCUUUCUGCUGACUUUCUUUUUUCUUUUUUUUGAGAAGGAGUCAGGCUCUGUCACCCAGGCUAGAGUGUAGUGGCACAAUCUCAGCUCACCGCAACCUCCGCCAACCCCAUUUCAUGCGAUUCUCCUGCCUUAGCCUCCCGAAUACCUGGGAUUACAGGUAGCUGCCACCAUGCCUGGCUGAUUUUUGUAAUUUUUUAGUGGAACCAGGGUUUCACCAUAUUGGCCAGGUUGGUAUUGAACUCCUGACCUUAGGUGAUCCUCCUGGCUCAGCCUUCCAAAGUGCAGUGCACCCAGCUCUGCUGACAUUCUUUAUCUUUUGAUGCAUUUUGUCUACCUUUUCCUUUUAUCUUUUGAUGCAUUUUGCCUACUUUUUCCUUUAACAUAUUAGUCGUAGUUACUUUAAAUUCCUUGUCUGAUCAGUUCUAACAUUCAAGUCUAGGUCUGUUAACAACUUUGUGAGUCUGUUAACAGCUUUUUUUCUUUCUUGUCUGUGUGUUUUGUAUUUCUUGAUUGUAUACCAAAUAUUGUGUAUAAAAUAGACUUUGAUACGUAGUACUUCUGUCCAGAAAUAGGCACAUUUUUUGUGUCCAGUCAUUAGUGUGGAGGUUGUGACAGUCUAGUCAGUGGCUGAACUAGGUUUGGGUUUGUUGCUGCUGUACUUACAGUGCACCAGACUUCCAGUCACUGCAGGAGUGGACUGCUGCUGCUUUGUGCUUCAUGUGAGGUCUGAAUUGCAGAAGGGUUUUUCCUUAGUGUUUCCCUCCAUGCUCAGAUUUCAGCAAGUCUUCACAUCUGUGCCACAGGAGGAAUCUAAUUCAUGCUCCUUUUGAGCUCCCCUGGUGACUGACUGUUGCUUGUUAUAGCUCAUCACGGAGUAAGAGCGUGUUUUUUAGUUUUCAUCCUCCAGCUUCGGUCUUGGGCCCUGAGCUCCUAGACUCCAGGGGUGGUUGAAUCCAGGGAUUUCUCAGUCAUUCUGCCCCUUCCCCAGUAGUGGCAGAGCUCUGCUUUGUAUCAGUGCAAGAUCCUGGCCUGAACUCAUUUUCUGCCCUUCCUUGAGUGGCAGACAGCUCUCACUUUCACCCUUCUACCAAAGGCAGUGCAUCUUUUCCUGGGCCUCUCCCCCAGCAACUUAAGACUUUCCCUUCGUGUAAGAGAAGGGCUCAUGUGUCAGGGAAUUCUGUGCCUUUGUGCCACCUGCAGAGUUUCUCAGUUCUCCUGCCCUGCCCCAAUCUUUUUUGUGAACACCUAGUAGAGACCCAUGGAGAAGAAUGAGGAAGCGAGUGUGGACUUCUCAUGUGUCUGUUGAUUGCUUUGUUUCUAACCUGUUACUCUUGGACUUUAACAAUUUAUGACAAUUUCAGCUGUUUUCUUUUUACCUGCUGGGAUGGUUAAUUUUCUGUGUCAACUUGACUGGGCCAUGGGAUGUCCAGAUAUCUAAUUAAACAUUAUUUCUGGGUGUGUCUGUGAGGGUAUCUCCAGAAGAGAUUUGCAUUUGAAUUGGUGAACUAAGUAAAGCAAAGGGCCCUCCCUCCCUGGUAGGGGUAGGCAUCAUCCAGUCUGUUGAGGACUUGAAUAGAACAAAAGGCAGGGGAAGGCUGGAAUUGCCCCCUCUCUGCUUGAGCUAUCCUGCCCUUGGCACCCCUGGUUCUCAGGCCUCAGACCCAGAUUCCUGCAUCUCCACCUUGCACGUGGCAGAUUGUGAGUCUUCUUAGUCUCUUAUCUAAUAAGUCUCUUCACACACACACAGACACACACAGACACACACACACACACACACACACACACACUGUAUCCUUCUGUUUCUCUGCAGAACCGUAUCUAAUACACCCACUUUUAUGGCAGUUACCUAUCCCUUCUAUAUUCUGCCAAAACUGAAAACAGUUCAUUUUUCCAUCUCUCCUCAAGAGAGGCUUGUCCCCCAUUAGUUCUCUGAUGGGCUCAGGGAGUUAUCCAGUUUUUUUUUCUCACUGUUAGGAUAAAAUUUAUACUCUGUUGGAGCUUUCUACACCUAAAUGGUAACUUGUUUUGAGGUUCUUUUCUGUACUUUUGCUAGAAUUGGAACACUGUAUCUAGUUAAGACAGAUAAGCUGACUUGUGAUACCAUAAUGUUGUGUUGAAUUUUAUAUUCUUAGAAAAGAAUCUGUCAACGUGUUGACUAAUUGCAAAGCAUUUAAUCAAUCAGGAUUCAUGUAUUCAGGUGCUCUGAAUUAUCUGACUCUUUAAUUCUUACUUUAUAAACGAGAAAACUGGGGCAUGGAAAAGUAAAUUCUCCUAACCCCAAAUUAUUACAUUAUUAAGGACAGGACUUAGAGGCCAGAUAUCUUAAGUCAUCAGUAUUCUUUUGGCUCACAGAAUUGGCAAUAUGAUCUAAAGGUAAUAACUAGGUGAUUUUCUUUUAUAUGAAUUAAUGAUGUCAGUUUUCAAAUAUUCACAAGUGCCUACUGUGCAGGGAAAGAAUGCGUGGCAUACAAAAGAUGUAGUCCAGACCUUUAAGAAACUUUCAUUUAAUGGGAAAUCAAGAAGUGUACAUGUAAGAAGGUAAGUAGCAGUGUGGUAAAGACACUCUGUAAAUAUCAGUGAAUGGUAUUGCCAAAAAGUGCUAUUGAUAGAGCAGUACUUCAUUUCUGUAAGCAUCUGUUGAUCUCCUGCUGAAAACAAGAGGGACAACAGGACGCCUCGUAGUCAGGAUAGAAGAGAAAGGCCUUGAGUUGAGCCUUGAACAAUAUUUAAUAUUCAAAGGCUUAAGAAAGGAGAGCAGUUGAGGAGGGGAGAAUAGUUCCAGCAAAAAUGAUGGUGUGCAAGAUGAACACAGUCAGGAAAGAGCAGAUUGGUCUGGAUGGAGAGGAGGAUUUGCAUCAUUUGGGACUGCAUCAUUUAUACCGUUGAAAGCCAGGAUUGAGUAAAGCUGCAGUGAAGGGACUGGUUCAUAUGGAAGCUUUAUUUUAAGAAGAUUAAUCUGAUAGUGACAUGUGCCAAAAACUGAAUAGGUAGAAAUGGGAUGCAGAGAGCCCAGUUGGAACUGAGUCUGGUGUAGUAAUGCAGGAUUGAGGCAAUAAAUGCCAAACUACAGUAUCACCAGAUAAUGGAUAUUUGAAUGGACAGUUUAAAGGAAAAUUGAUGGUAUUUGGUAAUUUACUAGGUAAUCGAGACCAAUGGAAUUAGAAGGAAAAAUGACUAAACAUAGUCAUCAAAUGGUUUUUCUUAAAAACAAUGAAUCUGUAUUUUGGUGUAAGAGUAGCAUUUUCUUACAGCUUAUUGCCUAGUUGGUACAGUUGCCUUAUGAUAAUGACUGCCACCAUGCUUGUUCCUCUUUUAACAGCUGUGAGUCCCCUACCAGCCAAACACCUUCUUGAAAAGGACAAUGCCUUUUCACUUCUCUCAAGUGCUUGGCAAAUAGGAGGCUUUCUGAAGUUAGUCUAUAGUUAGGGGUUCCCAGUUAGUAUUUGAAAUAUUAAAUCAUGCCAGUGGUUGACAGUACGGGCUCUCAUGUUAGAGAUUUUCCUGGCCCUACUGUUCAUCAUCAGCUGUUAACCUCAGGCAAGUUAAUGGACUUUUCUGAGCCUUAGUUUACUUAUUUAUAAAGUGGGAUUAUUUAUAAUGUCUACUUCAUAAAAUUAUGAAGCCUAAGUCAGGUAACUCUGAUAAUGUUUAGUAUGAUUCUUAGAACCUAGUAAACAAUCAGUAAACAGAAGCAGAUGCCACAUGCCUGAUUUAUAGCCAAGAGGAGAAAGAUCAAUCUGAAAUUUUCAUGAUUUAUGGAUUCAAAUUAUACAUUUCAAAGAUGCUUUAUAAGCUAUUGUUUUGGUAAGAAGAACUGAGCUGAAACAGAAUUUUCUGACAGUAAUGAUUAUUAAAUGAUGAAAUAGGCUUUGGUGCAAGUGAAAAAGACUUUAGAGGAUAUAGAUGUUCACCUCGUGCAUAUUAAGUGUACAAAAAUUCACUAAGUAGAUAUGUUUAUCUACAAAGAAAGGUCAUUAAAGUUAGUAAACACCCCCCACCCCAUCCCACUUUUUUCUGAGACAGGGUCUCACUCUGUUGCCUGGGCUGGAGUGCAGUGGCAUGAUUGUGGCUCACUGCAGCCUCAAUAUCCUGGGUUCAAGUGAUCCUCUCACUCAGCCUUCCUAGUAGCUGAGGUGUGCACCACCACACCGGCUAAUUUUUAAAUACUUUUUUGUAGAAGCGAGGUUUCACCACGUUGCCCCGGGUGGUCUCAAACUCCUGAGCUCAAGUGAUCUGCUCACGUCAGCCUCCCAAAGUGCUGGGAUUACAGGCAUGAGCCACUGCGCCUGGCCAGUAAACCCCAUUCAUUUACACCAUCUCAUUUGUCUCUCCAGCAAUCCUGUAGGGUAGGUAGGAUCUGUCCUUAUUUGUUAUUUAGGUGAAGAACUUGGAAGUGGUGUGAGGACUAGGUGUUUUGCCAAGAGUCACGCAGCUGGAGUGGCAGAGCUCUCUCUAUACUCUUCUGAUUCCACAAUGCUGUUUACAUCACAUCUGGAGAACAGCACUCUGAGGCACAGAUGUUCAGUGGGAGGGAUGAGACACAGGCUGCAAUGCCAAAAAAGUAACUGGGAAUAAAAGCAGAAAACAAGACAUUUGUUUCUGUUAAAAUGAGGCAGAAAAUAAGGCGUUUGUGGUUUGGGAUUGAGCAUUUGGAGAAGUGGGGAGCGAUUCGAUUUGGGUGAAACUGCUCAUGGAGUGCUGCGUCUGGUUCUGGACAACUCAUUACUAGGCUUAUGGAAACCAGCUGGAGGAGGUUCAAAGAAAAGCUCCAACAUGAUUAACGGGCUGACGGGAUUGAUUUAUAAGAAAUAUUAAAAGAAUUAAAUGUGUAUAGCUCUGCUAAGCAAAGAUGAAAGAGACACCAGCUAAAUGUAUACAAAAAUCUGAAAUGUGUAAACUUUAAAAAGGGAUUAAUUAUUUAACAUGAUAUAUGGGGGUACAAUAUGCAGUAACAGGAUAAAAAUUUCAGCUGAGUAUCCACAAAAAUUCCCCGAUAAUGAAUCUGUUGGGCUGUCUGCAGCGUGGCCUUUCUCUGGAGAGACAAUAGAAAUUCCAAGCCUUAUGAUUUUAAAACUUUCUUGGGAACUAGGUAUUAGAUGAUGUUAGAGAAUUGUUAAUUUGGUCAGGUACGAUAACAGUAUUGUGGGUCUAUAAGAAAAAAUUUCAUUUUUUAGAGUUACAUACUCUGAAAUAAGCCUAGAAUAUGAUGUAAGACAUUUGGUUUAAAUACUACAGUAAGGAAAGAAGGGAGAGAGGAAGGAAAGAAAGGAGGAGGAAGAGAGGAAAAAGAGGAAAGAAAGAAGAAAAGACAAGAGAAAGAAAAAGGACAAAGAAAGUAGGGUGGGCCCUGUGGCUCAUCCCUGUAAUCCCAGCACUUUGGGAGGCCGAGGUGGGAGGAUUACUUAAGCCCAGGAGUUCAAGGCUCCAGUGCGCCACUGCACUCCAGCCUGGGUGACAGAGCGAAACCCUGUCUCUAAAAAAAGGUAAGUUAAAAAGAAAGAAAAGGAUAGAUGAAGCAAGUGUGGCAAGAUGUUGGAAAUGUUGAAUCUGAAGGAAGUGAAUGUGUGAGUUCACUUUCCUCUUCAAUCUUCUUUAUGUAUGUUUGCCAACUUUCACAAUAAAAAAUGUAAAUUACAUUUUCCUGAUCAAAACUUAGUAGCAAUAUUAAUCCCUGGGCUCCAUGACUAGAAAAGCCUCAUUACCACAGGGGCAGAGUUCUGGCUGACCAGGGAGCACAAUGGUUCGCCAUCAUGCUCUGGUAAGAUACUGUGGCCUGAAGGGCCCUUUCUAAGAUUGUAGAUAGAAAUCCAGGAAACUUCUUAGAACUGCAGACUUCUCAGGGUACCUGUAGGAAGUGGGUCUCCUAAGGUGAGAAAGCAGAGGGCAGAGGUCAUGAUUAGAGGCUGACCUCUUCUGCUCUUCUGCCCCUCAUUCAUGGAGAAUACUGGACAUUGAGUGGAGGUCUAGGUGUCUUUGGAAUAGCAAAACCCUACUUUUCUUUUUCUUUUGGAGACAAAGUCUUACUCUGUUGCCAAGGCUGGAGUGCAGUGGUGUGAUCUCGGCUCACUGAAACCUUCGCCUCCCAGGUUCAAGUGAUUCUCCUUCCUCAGCCUCCCAAGUAACUGGGAUUACAGGUGACUGCCACCAUACCCAGCUAAUUUUUGUAUUUUUAGUAGAGAUGGGGUUUCACCAUGUUGGCCAGACUGGUCUCGAACUCCUGGCCUCAAGUGAUCCGCCUGCCUUGGCCUCCCAAAGUGCUGGGAUUACAGGCAUGAGCCACCACGCCCAGCCACAAAACUCUAAUUUCUUGAAUGGAGAAACAGUUUCCCCUUAUUUAUUGAGUUUGGGAAGCAAGAAGAGGGGUAAUUCAUUAAGUAAAAGGUUCCCAAAUCCAGAAGACAUGGAUAAAGCUGAGGCUUUAUUUUUUUAAGGAAGAAUUUGUAAAACUGUCUUCUUUUUAGACUCUUUAGGAAGACCUCACAUCCUUGCCUCAAACGUUGAGAGUGGGAAAUCUAGGCAGGUUUUGAAAUGCUCACCCUAUGUCUGCUUUUUUGUUUAUUAGAAAAAUAUAAAUAUUUUAUCUGAAUUUUGCUGAUAGCAAUCAAGCAUGAACACAGCCCCGCUAUUUGAGGAGCUGUCAUUUCUGAAUUUCUCCAGCAUGCACAACGAGGCCAGCAAAUGGCAGUAAGAGCGAGGUGGAUUCUAGCUCAGUAGAAGGAUGAACUCUGGAACCAUCGGCCCUGACUAAAAGUGAAGCAGUGGCUGCGUUGUGGGAAAGCUGGCUGGAGUCUCUGUCAUAGGCAGACAUUCUUUUUCUCCACCCCGUCACUGUGUUGAUUCGGGCCCACAGUAAGCCUCCUGGCCCCUAGGAUGGAACCCCCACCAUCCUCCUCUGCCUUGACUCCAGAGUGAUUGUUCUGAAGCACAACUGGGCAUCCUUCCCCUUCAUGAACUCCUAGCAACUGUGGGGACUCUAUCCCUGUGCUCACACCAUGCCUCACACGUAGACAUUCCUAAUGAAGAUUUGAUAGAAUUCUUGUAACCUCAGUGCCUCCCACUCGACUCUUCUAGUUGCUUCUCUCUAUGCCUUUGUACAUACAUUUAUUUUAUUAUUUUUGAGACAGAGUCUUACUCUGUCACCCAGGCUGGAGUGCAUUGGUACCAUCUUAGCUUACUGCAGCCUCCACCUCCCAGGCUCAAGCAAUCUUCCUCCCAAGUAGCUGGGACCACAGGUGUGUGACACCAUGCUCAGUUAAUUUUUUGUAAUUUUUGUAGAGAUGGGGUUUCACCAUGUUGCCCAGGCUGGUCUUGAACUCCUGGACUCAGGCGAUUCAACAACCUCCUUUGUAACACUUAACCUCUGCCCAGAGGGUGUUUUUUUCACUUUGUCCACCCAGCGAUAUUUCAAGACCCAAGACUCACUUUAAAGUUUAUAGUGAUAAAGUCUUUUUUUUUUCCCCCUAAGAUAUGAGGUCUUGUUAUGUUGUCCAGGCUGGUCUCAAACUUCUGGCCUCAAGCAAUCCUCCUGGCCUCCCAAAGUGUUAGGAUUACAGGCAUAAGCCACCAUGCCUGGACCAUAGUGAAGUAUUUUUUUGGUGGCUCAAUCAGAAUGAAUCCAUCCUCACAUCGGUCGCCAUGGCUCACCAUGCAUUGGCUUGUUAUUCUACCUAGCACUCACCUUUUUUUUUUUUUUGAGACAGAGUCUCGCUCUGUCACCCAACUGCAGUGCAGUAGUGUGAUCUUGGCUCACUGCAACCUCCACCUCCUGAGUUUAAGCAGUUCUCUGUCUUAGCCUCCCAAGUAGCUGGGAUUACAGAUACACACCACCACACCCAGCCAAUUUUUGUAUUUUUAGUAGAGGGGGUUUCACCAUCUUGGCCAGGCUGAUCUUGAACUCCUGACCUCAUGAUCCAUCUGCCUCGGCCUCCCAAAGUGCUGGGAUUACAGGCAUGAGUCAUGGUGCCCGGCCCCUAGCACUCAUCCUAAUCAUACAUUUACUUUGUCUUUCCCGCCAGACUUAUGUUUUCACCUUUAUUUCCCCAGGCACUUGCCAUCAUCAAAUUCUAGUCACUUGCCAUCAUCAAAUAAACCUCUGGAGCUACGAUAUUACAAACAUGAAGGUGUUGAGCACUCAGCAAGUUUAAGUGAGUAAACAAAGGCUUUCAUUCAUAUUUACUGACUGUCCUGACUCUGGUUCAAGGAGAGCAUAGUCCACAGAACCAGGGACCUGGCUGCUCUGGAAGCUAGACUUUAGCCUACCCCUUGGUCCUUGAAUGGGGACACAUUUCCCUUCAUACCUGUGUUUUAGGGACAGAAAGAUGAGUAAUGCCGUGAUAUAUGCUGGAAAUGUUUAUUCCACUACCCUAAGCUGACUCUCAACUUUAACAAUCCAUGAAAGAAGCAAGUUGAUAUAUAACUUAUUCUAAUUUGUCAUGGCUUUCUUUAUUUGUUUCCGGUUAAAAGAGGAGGUGGCAUUGAAUUGUUUGUUUGGUUUGGUUUCUUCUUCAGUAAGAAGCAUCUUAAUAUAACUAGUCUGGACAUCUGUCCCAUUUUCAAAAAUUACAAGUUUCGAUCAUUGCUAAAUUGUACAGAUCCCAAUCUGUCUGCUUUGCAUACAUUUGCAUUUAUAAAAGCAGAACCUGACUAGCAGUCUUUCUAAUGCAAUCCCCUAAAUGCAUGAAGUAUUAGAUUGCUUCUCCCCAUUGGUUUAUGCAUUGCUAAAGGCUUAAAAGGAUCAUUGACUUGAAUUAUUUAAUAUGUACAGCAGGUUGAGUUUCCUUUCUUUUUUAAGAAAAGAACCUUCAGGGGCAUUGCUUUAGUUUUUUAAUGUUAAAUCUCAUUUUUCUUUGAAAAUAAGAAGUUAAAGCUGUAUUCGCAUAAGCUCCCAAAGUGCCAGAUUUUCAUUGUGUUUUUAAACCAUCUAGGAAAUGUUUGAUUCUAAUGAAACGUUACUGCUGAAAAUUGGGCUGAAAUUGCUGGGCUGAAAAUAUUGUUAUAACUUCAUGUUAUUCCAAUGUUGUAUUAUUAUUUUUUCUUUCUUUUUUUUUUGGAACUGAUACAGAUGAAGAGACAGGGAGCAAUCCAAUGGGUAAUAAAAAAGGCAGCCUGGACUGUUGUUGCUGUUUUUGAAAUUUAAGCUGGUUUUCAAUUAAAUGUGAAUGGUCUCGGACUGGAAAUGUUGAACAUUUUUUACCAUGUAAUUUACGUUUUAGUCUUACUGGGUUUUUUUUUUGUUUUUUUUUUUUUGAUGGUUUACAUUUUCCCCAUGGAAAGCAGCUAUGUCAUUUCGGUGCGAUUCGAUGGUAACAUCUGGGUGCAUGGUUUUAUUUUGGUUUGUAUUAUGUUCAGAAAGCGCGAUGCCAGAAAUAGAGUGGUGUGUAAUGUCUAGUGUGUCUUCCUUUAACAAUCAAAGGCUCUUAUUUAAUCCACUUAAUGAGACACUGCAGAAAUUUCAAAAAUGAAAGUCCCAUCCACAUAAGGCAGUCCUAUAAUGUAAAAAGUUUAGGUGUGGGAAUUAAUAGAGUGAUCACAUAAUUUAUCAGCUAAAAGGAGACACUUUUAUUUUGAGACUGAGUCUCACUCCGUUACCCAGGCUGGAGUGCAGCGGCACCAUCUCCACUCACUGCAACCUCCGCCUCCUGGGUUCAAGCGAUUCUCGUGCCGCAGUCUCCUGAGUAGCUGGGACUACAGCUACUCAGUAUUUUAGUAGAGAUGGUGUUUCACCAUGUUGGCCAGGCUAGUCUCUUAACUCCUGACCUCAGGUGAUCCGCCAGGCUUGACCUCCCAAAAUGCUGGGAUUACAGGCGUGAGCCACUGUGCCUGUCCCGGAGACCAUUUUGAGAGUGAAGAGGGAGCAUGAAAAUAAUUCAUUGAUCUACAACUGGGACCAUCCAGGGCAAGCCAGUUGCCAUUACCACUAGCUAGAAAGCUUGCCAAGGUCUCAUUUACCGUGGUAUACAGCAAAUUAUUCUGUGAAUUCUGGAAAUUCUGGUAAGUCAUUGAGGUAGCUCUGUGCCAAGGAACAGUCUGGUAGGAUUCUAAUAUUUCAGGCAGUACAACACUUUCCUGCAUUUGUAGCAGGUAAAGGGAGGUUAGGGCAGAAGACAAAACCAUUGGGACUCGACAAAGAGCACAAACGUCUAAUGAUAAACCUGAUGUAUCUAAUGGUAAAUUGUUAUCAGCUAAAGAUCUUUCAUAAUAAAUAACAUCAAUUGUAGGAGGGCACAGAUACUGUGGAAAGCUGGGAUUCAGGUUGCCUGUGGCUUUAAUUCCAGAGUCAGAAAUAUUAGUCAAGGAUAUCAGUACAUGAAAUAAGUUUUCAAUGUUAUAUGCCACAAGAUGCGGCUGUCCUAUUUUCACUUCCAGUAAUUCCUUCCGAAUUAAUAUACCUUAAAAAUAGCUGCAGCUUCUCAAAUCUGUGAGAAUCAUAUGUGCUGCUUGCUACGCUUUCCUUUUUCCUGAAGGUCUCUUUGAGGUCUUUCAAGAACUCAAUUCAAUUCAGCAACAAUUAGGGGUCUAAGGUAUACAGACACUGCAAGGUGACCCUGAGACAAAGAGGAGGGCAAACCCCUGCCCUCAGCCACCUCUCUAUAAUACAGGAGAAAGAAAAGAAAUACUAAUACAACACUACAUAGGUAGGUGCCAUUAAAAUGGUACAUACACCAAGCUGGCCAAGAUGGUGAGACCCUGUCUCUACUAAAAAUACAAAAAUUAGCUGGGUGCAGUGGCACACACCUGUAAUCCCAGCUACUCGGGAGGCUGAGGCAGGAGAAUCACUUGAACCUGGGGGGCGGAGGUUGCGGUGAGCUGAGAUCAUGCCAUUGCACUCCAGCCUGGUGACAGAGUGAGACUCCAUCUCAAAAAAAAGGGGGGGGUACAUACAGCCGGGCGCGGUGGCUCAUACCUGUAAUCCCAGCACUCUGGGAGGCCGAAGCAGGCAGAUCACGAGGUCAGGAAUUCGAGACCAGCCUGGCCAACGUGGUGAAACCCCUUCUCUACUAAAAUACAAAAAUUAGCCAGGCAUGGUGGCACAUGCCUGUAGUCCCAGCUACUUGGGAGGCUGAGGCAGGAGAAUUGCUUGAAACCAGGAGGUGGAGGUUGUAGUGAGCCAAGAUUGUGCCACUGCACUCCAGCCUGGGUGACAGAGUGAGACUUUGUCUCAAAAAGAAAAAAAAGUAUAUACAUUAAAGGCAGGUGGUAGGUAUAAGGAAAUUUGUAACAUUAGAAUUUUCUGCAUGUUUGAAAUAUCUUAUUAAGUUUUAAAAACUAAAAAAGGGAGAUACAUGUAUAUUUAUGUAUGUGUGUACAUAUAUACACACAUAUAUACAUAUGUAUUUAUAUAUUUGUAUUUUAUAUAUCUGUGAGACUUUAGAGGACCAAGAAAUCACAUCUGGUUAUGGGGAUCUGUGAUGGUUUUAUCUACCAUUUUCUACAACAUACCUUUCCCUUUGCAACCCAGCUUCCCUAAAAACUGUCUCAUAAAGAGUCCUCUUUUCCCUGCACCUCUGCAGUGGUAAGCAGCAAAACACACAUUCUUUUGGGUCCCCAGAACAUUCCCUAUAGUUUGCCCUUAACAGCCUUUGUUGUGAAAUGUAUUCUUUCUGUCUGAACCUUGCCUGCCUCUCAUACAUGGAGUUUUGGAUCCCGGCUCCCGGUCUGCCUCCUCACCCCCUCCCUUGCCAAAAGAAUCUGGUGUGUGACCACUGCUCCUCUUUUCCACUGCCACAACUCCAGUCCAAGCCACAAAGCUCUCUCACCUGGACUCCUGCGGGGAGUUCCUUUCUCUCUGCAUGAGUCGAUUCUCCGCACAGCUGGCAGAGAGAGUCAGCUGCCCUUUUUUGUCCACUGAUUGAAGGCAAGAUGCGCUGAAAGCCGCUAUGAUCACGUCUGCAAAAGCACACUCUGGCCCCUUGGCAGCAGGCGCCCUGCACAUUCUCCAUCUGCACGUCCGGUGGUGACACGGUGCAUAAUUGCGGCCCCUUCGUGGUACAAACUCUCUCACUUAGCUCCGUCAGUGCUGGCACAGCAGAAAAGAAGAAAUCAAAAAUAUCUGGAUUUGAAAGGUAACAAGAAGCUGGAAAACAACUCCUGGCCGAGCCUGGGACUUUCAGUGGAGACGUGCAGCCUCGUGUUUUUCCACUGACAGCUGAAAAUGAGCCCAGCUUCAGCAAAGCUUGUUUCCUUCCUUCCUCAAGGUUACCGGCAAUUCUCCGUUCUUUCAGGAAAGCAAGAAAAUGAAUCUGGGAUUGUUGUUCUUUUAUCUAUUAUAGGAUUGAUAAUACAUUCCUCCACCAAGUGUUCUGCUUGUAACAAUGCUCACUUCCUGACACUAUUGUAUAUGCAGGAGUAUUACUACCAAGGUAAACACAGAAUUGGCCGCUCGAUUUCAAAUCCCCAAACUGAGUGAGAGAAAUCAGAACUAUAAUAGGGGAUUCCUUGGAGUUGGAUACCCAUGUGCGACGGUCAGAGAGCUUGCUCAUCGUAUGCAGGGGCUGCUGCUCUAGCAGCGCUUACUGCUUCAUUUCCUGGCCUUUACGCUUUUCUCAGCUCAGUUGCCUUUCUUCUCUCUGGCAGUCACGUUCCUUUGGGUCAAACGGCAGAUGAUUCUUUGGAAUCACCUCGUAUUCAAAGGAGCUCCAACAAGGCAUUGGGCAUCCACAUUCAUUCUCCUGAAAGAAGAAUGUUAUGGAAGCCAAGGUUGCCAUGGUGCCUCUUCAUGUUGUUUGCUCAGCCAAGGCCCAAGCUUUGUGCUUUGAACAUGAAAUUAGAGAGCUUCAGAGCAAGAUCCACAUUUUCAGUGACCCCAUGCAACUGAAUAAAAGUCAGAAAGCUGGAAUGGAACCUAAAUGAAUACAUGAAACAAGAGUAGGAAUUGGAAGGAGUAACAAUAAAAAUGUGCCAUGAACUGAGGAGUGUAAUUAAUCAACUCAGUUCUGUUACAAGCGGAACUGUGUCAGUCAACAAUCGCCGCAGUUAUCUCAGUGACCACCUUUUCCCAGGUGGGACAGUAGGUGCUGGAAUGGGUCACUGAGCAUUGCCCAACCAGAGUUUGCACAAGAAGCUGGAAGCUCUGACUGGGGAUCCUAAAUAUGUGAAAGUUAAUAGGCUCUUUGUGCAGAAUACGAGCCCCGUGUAUGGAUGUAGCUGAAGGGUUGGCCUUUAAGUCUUUAUUCCUUCACAAACCUGGUAGGAUGGAUAUGCUUUUCUCCUUUUAAAAAAUGUUUGUCAACAAUUGCAUUUAUGAUGCCAUAUACAGUAACUCCCAGAUCACGACCCAUGAAAAUGCUUCAGAACCCAGUAUAAGGAGAUUUUUAGCUAUUUGUGACAAAAGAGAGGCUGCUUCAGUGUGGAAAUUCUUCAGAGAAGUAUUUGAUUGUUUUCUCAGAUUUUUUUUUUUUGGAAACAGAGUCUCACUUUGUCAUUCAGGCUUGAGUGCAGUGGCUGCGAUCAUGGCUUACUGCAACCUCUGCCACCUAGGUUCAAGCAAUUCUCCUGUCUCAGCCUCCAGAGUGGCUGGGAUUACAGGUGCAUGCACCACCAUGCCUGGCUAACUUGUAUUUUUAGUAGAGGCAGAGUUUCAUCAUGUUGACCAGGCUAGGCUCAAACUCCUCACCUCAGGUGAUCCACCUGCCUCAGCCUCCCAAAGUGCUGGGAUUACAGGUGUGAGCCACUGUGCCCAGCCUGUUUUCUCAGAUCUUAUAUUUUGUUACUCAAGCUUUCAUUUCUAUCUUCUUAUUCAUUUUGGAAGUAGUACACUUAAGUAGGGUUUUAACAAUCAAAUAUCUUUGGAAAAUUCUCUGGUUCCUUUCUUAUUCCUACAAAAAUGUGUUCAAUAUAGCUGUUAUAUUUCUUUCAAAUUAUUCAUUUCUCUAACUCAGAAUUUAUCUUAUGCCUAAUUUUUAUUGAAUAGUCUUCACUUCUUGUCAUUCAGCUUCUGGUCUAUUACUCCAUUCUAGGUCUAAUUGGCUAUUAUAAUAAAGAGCUUUUAACAGAUUCCUUCUCCAAUGUGUCUUAUCUUUUGACUGCAUGCCAGUGACAAACCGUCAACUGCUUUGAUUCUUCGUAACAUUCCGCAGAACAUGCUGACUCCUCUCUUCCUGAAAGCAAUGACCAAGCACAGCACUGUAAGAUAAUAUGUACCCAACAGGGACAUGGGUGCAUAGCAAAAAUUGGAAGGAAGGAGGACCUUUCUUAGCAAUGGGUGAUAGGGUCCCUGGAUUUAGGCUCCAAAGGGUUGUGAGGUGAAGCACACAUUGUCCAUGGCCAGGAAGCACAGAGGAGGGAUGAAGAGCUAUGCCUAAUGAAACUUCAUCCACACAGAGAUGGAGGCUGCAGCUGCAGGAGCUCGGAGCUGCCUUACCCAGACCAGGGGCCAGGGAGGGCUUUCUAGAGGAAACAGCCUCUGAGCUGCCAGCUGAUAGAGGAACUCCACGUCAACUCUUGUGGUUCCCCAGGGCUGCCUUUUCCACACCCAUUUAUUGGCAUUGAAGUUUGACCACCUUCAGGCCCUAAAAGCCUGCCAGGUCCUCUUCUCUGCAGAGCAAUCCCACCAACCUGCAAAAGGCUGUCACCCCCAUCUCCUGCUCAGAAACUGGAUCCCUGGAAGGACUCGGGGCCACUGACUCCAUCCUGGCAGCUUUUGCAAGAAAGGCUUCAGACUUAAGGAUGUUUCCAUCUUUGCCAGGUUGCCUUUUCUCCUUCUCUUAGGCUUCGAGUUUGGAGCACGCAAAUGUGCUGAGAAGUCAACCCUUCCUGCAAGGUGAAACACAAGGGCCUUUCCCUGCAGAAAGAAGAAAGCAGAUGGAACGUCCGUCUUCCUCCAGUAGAGGAUUGACUCUGUCGGGCAGCCAUCCAACAUGGAAAGCACAGUGCCUGCCUGCCUGCCUCCCUGCAUCCCUCCCUCCCUUCCUCCCUCCCUCCCUUCUCCCUCCCUCUUCCUUCCCUCCCUCUCUCCCUCCUCCUUCCCUCCCUCUCUCCCUCCCUUUCUCUUCCCUUCUUCUCCCUCUCACUUUCUCCCUUUCCUCCCUCUCUCCCUCCCUCUCUCUUCCCUUCUUCUCCCUCUCACUUUCUCCCUUCCCUUCUCUUCCUCUCCCUCACCCCCUCCCUCUACUCUCCCUUCCCUUUCCUUUCCCUCACCAUCUCCCUCCCCUCACCCUCUCCCUCCCCUCCCUUCUCCUCUCGUUUCUCUCUCUCACCCUCUCUCUCCCUUCCCUCUCUCUCUCCCCCUUUCCUAUCCCUUUCCCUUCCCUCUCCCUCUCCCUUUCCUUCCUCUUUCCCUCUCCCUCAGCCUCUCCUUCCCCUCCCCUUCCCUCUUCCUCUUCCUCUCCCUCUCCUUUCCCUCUCCCUCCCUUCCCUCUUCCUCUCCCUUACCUCUCCCUCUCCCUUUCCUUUCUCUCUCCCUCUUCUUCACCCUCUCCCUCUUCUUCACUCUCUCCCUCCUUUCCCUUUCCCUCUCCCACUCCUGCCUUCCCUUUCCUCUCCCUCUCUCUCAUCCUCUCCCUCCUCUCCCCUCUGACUCUCCCUCUCUCUUCCCUCUCCCUCUCCCUCUCCCUUCCCUCUCCCUCCCUUUCCUCUCUCUCCCCCUCUCCCUCCCCUCCCCUCCCUUCCCCUCCCUUUCCCUCUCCCUCUCCCUCUCCCUUCCUUCUCCUCUCCCUUCCCUCUCCCUCCCUUCACUCUCCCCUCUUCCCUUCCCUUCCCUUUCCCUCACACUCUCCCUCCCCUCCCCUCCCUUUCCCUUCCCUCUCUGUUCCCUCUCCCUUUCCUUCCUUCCUUUCUUCCUACUUUCCUACCUUUAGGGCUUCAGUCUUUGGAGCCCAUUCUGAAUAUGCUGUAAUGUCUGCCCCUUGCUCUUCUCUGUUGAAAAAGGAAAGACUUGGAAGCCACUUACCUUUUACUGAAUAAAAAAAUUAGUAAAAGAGCUAAAAAUUAAUGGUUAAAAAUGUAAGCAUAAAUUAUGCAGUAUACUAACCAAUGAAAAGAUACACUUCUCUUAAUUAAAAGCUGACAGGGAAGGAAAAAAGGAAAGAGAAAAAAAAAAACAAUAAAUGACCUAUGAGUUGGAAGAGCAACAUCAGAGAAAAUAGAUACUGUGUAUAGUCUUGUACGUCUAUGGAAUAACAUUUGUAGAGAAAUUGGUCUGAUCCUUCUGAGUAAAGAGAACUGUGGGUAAAAUUAAAGGGAGACUGAAUGAAAUCCAAACGCAUAGCAGAUGCUGUGCCUAACUGGAAUGGUUGCUGAUCUCCUCCAAACUAAGAAGUGUUUGAGGCUCAGCUUUAAUAUGAUUAAGAUACAAAGACAGAACGAGUGAAAGAGAGCAGGAGCUCACUGGAAGAACAUGCAAGGUUCCUUACUACUGAUUGUCUAAAAUUACAAUUGUUCUAGAUGCAAAAGAAAAGGAAAAGCUUCUCUGUUAAAAAGGAGCUUAUGCUGUAGAAGGUUUAAAAUAUGCUUCUGACCCAUCUCCAACAUUCUAAAUCCUUCCCAGAAAAGCAAGCCAGUCCCAAGAAAUGUUAAAUCAAAUUGCUGGAAAGAAAAAUGCAAAAUAUUAAAAUGUAUUAUGAAGCACCAAUAAUUAAAUCAGAGCUGGUGCAGAAAUGGGCCAGCAGAUCAAUGAGACAGACAUCAAGUCCAGGAAUGCGGAUCUGCAAAUGCACCAAGUAAUUUGAUAUAAAAUAAAGGUGGCACCAGUGGGGAAAAAAAUUGAUCUUGUAAUAAUUGGUAUUGCAAUAAUUGUCUAGUAAUUGGGGGAAGAAAUAAGUUUAUUCCUUAUCUCAUUUCUUUUUUUUUUUUUUCUUUUUCAGACAGGGUCUCACAAUGGUAGUCCAGGCUGCAAUGUGGCAACCCGAUCUCUGCCCACUGCCACCUUGAUCUCCUGGGUUCAGGCGAUUCUCUCACCUCAGCCUCCCAACUAGUUGGGACUACAGGCACAUGCCACCACCUCUGGCUAAUUUUUUGGCUUUUUUUUUUUUUUUUUGAGAUGGAGUCUUGCUCUGUCACCCAGGCUGGAGUGCAGUGGCACGAUCUCAGCUCACUUCAACCUCUACCUCUCAGGUUCAAGCAAUUCUCCUGCCUCAGCCUCCUGAGUAGCUGAGCCACCAUGCCCAGCUAAUUUUUGUAUUUUUAGUAGAGACAAGGUUUCACCAUGUUGGUCAGGCUGGUCUCAAACUCCUGAUCUCAUGAUCCGCCCACCUCAGCCUCUCAAAGUGCUUGGAUUUUUUAUUACAGGCAUGAGCCACCAUGCCUGGUUUAUUUAUUUAUUUUUUUUUAAUUUUUAUUUUUGCAUUUUUAGUAGAAAUGGGAUCUUGUCAUGUUGCCUGGGCUGGUCUUGAACUCCAGGACUCAGGCAGUCCACCCACCUUGGCCUCCCAAAGUGCUAGGAUUACAGGUGUCAGCUGCUGUGCCUGGCAGCUUAUUUCUUAUACUAAAUGAGUUGGAGACAGCUAAAAAGUUUCUGUGUAUGCUAACUACAUUUAAAAAAUUUUUUCUAAGGAUAUCUGCUGGAACCAGUCAUGCCACCAACCAAAUAAAGAUGCAAGUCUAUAAAACGUACCCAGUUUUUCAAACCACUUAAAAAUUAUUCUAAAAAUUAUUUAUGUCCAGAAAUUUUGCAUUGAUUUCCUGAAGGAGCAUUAAUAUGGGACUUGGCUUAUAAAAUGAUGAACUCAUUCUCCCCACUCAAUGUAGGAGUCUCUCAGAUUUAAAAAAUAAGUGGCCUCGUCCUGACAACCUAUAAAAGUGAAUACUUGGCUGGGCACGGUGGCUCACACCUGUAAUCCCAGCACUUUGGGAGGCUGAGGCAGGUGGAUCACGAGGUCAGGAGAUUGAAACCAUCCUGGCCAACAUGGUGAAAACCCAUCUCUACUAAAAAUACAAAAAGUUAACUGGGCGUGGUGGCAUGUGCCUGUAGUCCCAGCUAUUUGGGAGGCUGAGCCAGGAGAAUCGCUUAAACUUGAAAGGUGGAGGUUGCAGUGAGCCGAGAUUGCACCACUGCACUCCAGCCUGGUGACAGAGUGAGACUUUGUCUCAAAAAAGAAAAAGUGAACAGUUACACCUGAAACACCAGGAGACUGGCAGUUCUUUGCAUAGGGGUUACAAUUAAAAUUGAGCUGCCUCUGACAUCCAUUAACACCAAAAUUAGGAAACUAUACUUGUAUGGAGUUUUAUGAUUGAACUUGCUUAUUGAACCAAGAGAUAUAGUUUAUAUGGAAACUUUUGGGCAUAUCAAAAUCAUCUUGGCUUAGCCUAGCAAAAUAAUACAUUUUGCUGAUGUUAACUAUUUUCUGCAAUGGGCUGAUUUUAAGUUUCUUUGAGAAAAUACAAACACACACACACUUUAAAAUUAUAUUAAAAUGCAAUCCUAAACCUCAAGGUCCAGAACCACAUCUUAACAUCAGCCAUGCAUAAGAUGUGUAUAUUUUUGUGUUCUAAAAACUACCAGUAAGAAAGUAUUAGUAGUUAUACGAUUGAUUGUCAGUUAGCCAAGGGAAGAUUAGUACGGUUAAAGACUCAAAGUGGCUUCACAAUCUAUAUCAAAAGGAGAAAAUAAAGGAAAUGGAGCCUAGAAAUGAGGAAAUUGGGACACAGGAAAAACAAAAUGAGGGCUGGUAAAUGAAUAACAUAAGGGAUAAGACUAAUACACGAAACACCCCAAAUAAAGAGCCAACAUUUGCUGAGCUCUUACCGUGAGCCCGUGCUAAGCACUUUAUGUGUAUUACCUCAUUUCAUCCCCAAGGAACCAUCUGAGGCAGGCACCUAUCAUCUCCAUUUACAGAUAAGGAAUAGAGCCAGAGAGGCUGAGCCACUGGGCUGAUUCCACAGCUACCCUGGUGAAGCCGGGAUUUGAACCUAAUCAUUGGCUCUGGAAGCCCAUGCACCCAAUUGCUGCACUAAGUGAAUGCAUGCACUACCACCAACGUUGCCAAAAGUGGGCCACAGCUCAGAUUCUGCAUUUCCCAGUAGCCAAAACAGAGAGAGUGUGAUCAGAUCUCACUUUAAUAAGCAAGUCUCAAGCCAGAAAAAGACGGUAUCAGGAAGUGCACAGGCUGCCAGUGAAAACCCCCCUUCUUCUCUGGUCGUCCAUACGGUUUUACACUACUUGCUUACAGAAUGAAAAUGGCUGGAGUUCAGGUGUAGUUUCUAUGCCUUGUUGUUAGGAUUGGGCUUUUCAAGUUUAUUUUUUGUUGUUGUUUUUAACAGACUGUAUUUUUUUUUUAGAAAAUGUUUAGAUUUACAGAAAGUUUGAAAGGAUAAUACAGAGAGUUCCCGUAUACCUCAGUUUCUGCAAUUAUUAACAUCUUCAUUAGUUUCUGCAAUAAUUAACAUUUUACAUUAGUUCAGUACAUUUGUUACAAUUAAUAAGCCAGGGCUGGUGGGGACAGUGGCUCAGGCUCCUAAUCCCAGCACUUUGGGAGGCAGAGGUGGGUGAAUCACUUGAGGUCGGGAGUUUGAGACUAGCCUGGUCAACAUGGUAAACCCCAUCUGUGCUAAAAAUACAAAACAUUUACCCAGGUAUGGUGCUAGUUGCCUGUAUUCCCAGCUACUCAGGAGGCUGAGACACAAGAAUUGCUUGAACCGGGAAGGUGGAGGUUGCAGUGAGCUGAGAUCACACCACUGCACUCCAGCCUGGGAGACAGAGUGAAAAUCCACCUCUGCCCCCCCCCCACAAAAAGAAAGAAAAGAAAACAAUUAAUGAGCUAAUAUUGAGACAUUAUUAUUACUAAAGUCCAUGCUUUAUGCAGAUUUUCCUCGUUUUUACCUACUGUCAUUUUUCAGUUCCAGAAACCCAUUCAGUUUUCAUUUAGUUGUCUGCUUAGGCUCCUCUUGGCUGGACUGACUUGUAAUCUACUUUCUGCAGAGCCUGAGGACUUUAGCAUAAUUUCCUUGAAAUUACAGCUCAAUAUUUUCAAUCACUUAUACAAACAACCUAAUGUUAUGAUGGCCCAUAACAAUGUUUCAAGGUAAUAAACUCUGUUUUCGGUGCCGACUGAAAGAACUGCUGCUUAGCCUCCUGCCAGAUGAUGAAUUGGGUACACAGGAGCAUUUUUCCAGGUAAAGCAUAUUUCAUGGGACUUCUUAAGCCACAGCCUUAUAUGCAGUAAUUGUCCAUUUAUGAGACUUAUGUUCAAAUUUCAGGCACUCUGUUUUCGCUGAGCAUAUCUUCAACUUUGAUAAGUAUGGCUUUGAUCACUCAGAAAAUCUAACGACUAAUUUUUUUUCACCAUCGGUUUUUUUUUUUCUGUUGACUCUGUCUUCUUUGUCUAUUUGCCUAGAAACAUGCUCGGGAUUCUUUCAGGCCUUAGGAAAUGCAAAAAAGUUUCCUGCAAUCUAGUUACUGCUUGAUUCCCUUGUUCUGCUUAUUGCUGGAAUUCUUGAAAGCUUGGUGUAUCAGUCUUUUUUUAAUGCUGCUGAUGAAGAUAUACCCAAGACUGGAUAAUUCGUAAAGAAAAAGGUUUAAUGGACUCACAGUUCCAUGUGGCUGGGGAAGCCUCACAAUCAGGGCGAAAGGCUGGUCUUACCUGACAGCAGGCAAGAGAGAAUGAGACCCAAGUGAAAGGGGUUUCCCCUUAUAAAACCAUCAGAUCUUGUGAGACUUACAACCACAAGAACAAUAUGGAGUAAACUGCCCCAUGGUUCAGUUAUCUCCCAUCGGGUCCCUCCCGUGGGAUUAUGAGAGCUACAAUUCAAGAUGAGACUUGUUGGGUAGGGGACACAGCCAAACAUAACACCUGCCCUAUAUCAUUAUUUCCAUCUCUUCCCCAUCUUUUUAUUCCUCAGACCGGUAUAACCAGACCUCUUUUUUUUCCUUACUACUUGAAACUGCUCUUUUGAGGGUAGCUGAUAAGUCCAAAAUACCGUCACCUUUUCUUAAUUCCGUUUCUUCUUAUGCCUUCGAAGCCAUUGACUGCGUGGGUCGCUACCUCCUUUAAAGUGUCUCUCACUUGGUUUUGAUGACUAACGAUCAUGGUUUUCUUUUUCCUCUCUAAACAUUCCACUAUCUUUUUCACUUCCCUUCCCCAUCCCAUCCCCUAAAUGACCUUGUUUCCCGGAAUCUGCCCCCACCUCUUUGACUUCUCUAUGCCUUCUCAUCCACUCAUGGGUCUUGAUUACAUUAUUGCAUCUGUGUCAAUAACUCUGGUCUUUCUCUCAAGUUCCAGUCUCCUGUUUCCAAAUGUCCCUAAACAUUUCCAAUUGAAUAGCCCUCCAAUGUAUUUAACCUGCUGAAUAUCUAACACAUAAUCUUUCCCAUCAAAUCAGUUCCUCUUUAAGCUUUUCUUAUUUCUAAUUAGUGCUCCUGCCCUUCUCCCAGGAGCCCAGACUUCAAACCUUGAAUUUCUCACCACAACCUCUCUCUGGUCUCCCAUAAUCAAUUAGUAGCAAGUGUUAUCAAUAAUUCCUUGAUAAUAUCUUUUCAUAUUUCCCUCCCUGCUAUUAUCAUUUAUCCAACAAGAACAGUUGGCUCUUGGUAUCUGUGGCUUCUGUGUCCUUGAAUUCAACCAACUGUAGAUAGAAAAUAUUUGAAGAAAAAACAUCCAUACUGAAUAUGAACAAAUUUUUUACUUGUCUUUAUUUCCUAAACAAUACAGUAUAGUAACUACAGCAUUUACAUGUCAGUAUAUAGAUCUUAUAAUCUAGAAAUGAUUUAAAGUACACCAUUUUAUGCAAGGGACUUGAGCAGCUGUGAAGGGAUUUGUUCACGGGCAUCCUGGGACCGAUUCCCCGUGGUUAUGGAGGGACAACUGUGCUUUCUCAGUGCCUACUAAAUACUAAACAGUUGCUCAGUGUAUUUUUAUUUCUUCGUUUUUCUGUUUUCAGUUUGUCCCUUGCCAGUUAGUUCAACAGUGCUGUCAAUGCCAGGUAUAUCUUCAGAAUAUUCUAUUCUAAUUUUGUCAUCGCCAAGCUUAAAAAUGUUUAAUAUGCCAGGUGCGGUGGCUCACACUUGUAAUCCAGCAUUUUGGGAGGCCAAGGUGGGUGGAUCACUUGAGGUCAGGAGUUCCAGACCAGCCUGGCCAACAUGGCAAAACCCUGUCUCUACAAGAAAAGAAAAACCCACGAAAAUUAAGCAGUUGCAGUAGCAUUUGCCUGUGGUCCCCAGCUACUCAGGAGGCUGAGGCAGGAGAAUCGCUUGAACCCGGGAGGUGGAGUUUGUAGUGAGCCAAGGUCUCACCACUGCACUCCAGCCUAGGAGACAGCAAGAGUCUGUCUUAAAACAAAACAACAACGAAAAACAUUUAAUGGCUGCACCUUGCCUAUGCAAAAUACAUUUCUUGGCUAGAUGUGGUGGCUCAACCCUGUAAUCCCAACACUUUGGGAAGCUGAGGCCAGGAGUUUCAGAUAAGGUAGGCAAUAUAGGAAGACACAAUCUCUACCAAAAAACCCGCAAAAUUAGUCAAGCUUAGUGUGCAUGCCUGUAGUCACAGCUACUCCGGAGGCUGUGGCAGGAUCCCUCAAGCCCAGGAGUUCGAGGCUGCAGUGAGCUAUGAUGGCACAAACUACAUGCCAUCCUGGGUGACAGAACAAGGUCCUAUCUCUGUUGGGGGGAGGUAGAAAAGAAUGCAUUUUUUAGCAGAGUUCUCUGUAGAGUCCUAGGGUUCCAUGGAACUCCUUAAGAGCAUCAGAGUUUGUGAGUAUGAUGGGAGGAAGCAUUUUAGCCAGAGCAGUUGUGCUCCCAUUGCAUAAUAAUUUUUUUUUUUUUUUGGAAACAGUCUCGCUCUGUUGCCCAGGCUGGAGGGCAGUGAUGCAAUCUGAGCUCACUGCAAUCUCUGCCUCCUGGGUUUAAGUGAUUCUCCUGCCUCAGCCUCCCAAGUAGCUGGGAUUACAGGCACAUGCCGCCACACCUGGCUAAAGUUUUUUGUAUUUUGGUAGAGACGACGUAUCACCAUGUUGCCCAGGUUAGUCGUGAACUGCUGAGCUCAGGCAAUCCAACUGCCUCGGCCUCCCAAAAUGCUGGGAUUGAGGGUAUGAGCAACCGGACCCAGUCUGCAUCAGAAUGUUUAAAAAAUAAAAAGGUUUAAAACUACUACUUUAGCAUUGGCUAGACAUUUAAUGGCCUCUUUAAUCAAACCUUAAUUGACAUUUUAGCUAGAUAUGCUACCAGCCAACUACAGACAACCCACCUUAUAUAUAUUUUUAUUGUGCUUCAGGUUCUGGGGUACAUGUGCAGGUCAUGCAGGAUUGUUGCAUAGGUACAUACAUGGCAGUGUGGUUUGCUGCCUCCAUCUCCCCAUCACCUAUAUCUGGCGUUUCUCCCCAUGUUAUUCCUCCUCAACUUCCCUCCCCACACUGUCCCUUCCCUUCCCCCCCAUCACACACACAGACCCCAGUGUGUUAUGCUCCCCUUGCUGUGUCCCUGUGUUCUCAUUGUUCAACACUGGCCUGUGAGAACAUGCGGUGUUUGAUUUUCUCUUCUUGAGACAACACACUUUUUAACCAAAUUAGACUACUAGUUGUCAUCAGUGGACAUCAGAUUUGCCACCUUGCCGUGCCUUUGCUCACAUCAUUAUCUUUUUCUGUCUAAAUAAAGAUUUUCGCUUUGCUGUCAAAAAAAAAAACAACAACAGCAACAAAAUAAACCAUUUUCUGGAAUGUCCUGUACUCAUCGUCUUGAGUUGAAUUCUAUAUCCAACUUUAAAGACCUAGCUCGAAGCUCAGCACCUCCAUUCCAUUUCAAAAAGAGCUUUCCUUUUCCUAGAAGUCUAAGAACUCAUUUUCACGAAUCUUUUUGGCAUUUAUUGCACACGUGCUUGCUUUUCAUUAUUUGUGUUCAUAUCUCAUGUGCCCCCAAGGGUUUUAGACUCCUUAAAGGCAAAAAUGAUGCUCUAAACAUCUUUCUAUCUUUCGUAGUGUCUUAGUCUGUUUGUGUUGCUAUAAAGGUAUACCUGGGACUGGAGAAUUUAUUAGGAAAAGAGAUUUAUUUGACUCACAGUUCUGCAGGUUAUAUAAGAAGCAUUGUACCUGCAUCUGCUUCACGUGAGGGCUUUAGGAAGCUUCCACCCAUGGUAGCAGGCAUCACAUGUCAAGAGAGGAGGAAAAAGAGAAGGAAGAAAGGAAGGUGCCAUUCUCUCUCGACAAUAAGUUCUUGUGGGAACUGAUAGAGCAAGAGGUUGGGCAUGAUAAUUCAUGCCUGUAAUCCCAGCACUUUGGGAGGCCAAGGCAGGUGGAUCACAUGAAGUCAGGAGCCCAAGACCAGCCUGGCCAACAUGGUGAAACUCCAUUUCUAUGAAAAAUACAAAAUGAGCUGGGCCUGGUGAUGUGUACCAGUAGUCCCAGAUACGCAGGAGGCUGAGGCAGGAGAAUCACUUUAACCCAGGAGACGGAGGUUGCAGUGAGCUGAGACUGUGCCACUGCGCUCCAGCCAGGGCAACAGAGUGAGACCCUGUCUCAAAAAAUAAAAAUAAAUUAAAAAAAUAAUAGAGCAAGAAUGUACCAAGCUAUUCAUGAAGGAUCUGCCCCCAUGACUCAAACACCUCCCACCAGGCCCUACCUCCAACAUUAGGGAUCAGUUUUCACAUGAGAUUCAGAUAUCACAUAGUAAUGAACACAGUACCUUAUCCAUAGAAAGCAAUGGCUAGACAACUAUUGAAUGCCUAGCCAAAUCUGUUUUCCUAUAGUCUCACUCUGGAGGGAGUCACUAUAAGUUUCUGUCAAAAUGAGAAAAAAAAAUGUAUAGUCAGUCGUGUAUGUGUGUUCAUGUAAAAGAGAUCAAGAGAAAAGAAUGAGAUCAGGAAAAGGAGGGGGAAUACAAGAAUAAUACAUAGAAAAAAGCAAAUUAUCUAUUUAUUUGGCAGUAUCCAAGGAAGUAGAAAUGGUGAGUAACCCUUCUUCACUUUUUCUAUUGUUCACUUUUUUGCACCUUUAUUUUGAUGAAUUCACACCAAAGACAUUAAUUUAUUAAGGCUUCCAGUAUUCUGGAGUCAAGAAGGGCUGCUAUGCUCAUUAUACAAAUGGAAAACUUGGGUCAUCAACACCUCAAACAAGGACACAGCAAAGAAAUGGAGCAUAACCCGCCAGGUCCUGACUGUAGGAUUUGGAUUCCCAGUUGGUGCCUUUUCACCUUUUGUCACUCUUCCUAAAGUUAUGAUCCUUUCUUGCGCAUAGGAAAAUCAUAGUGAUUUCCCACCACCCUGAGGAUUGUCACAGCGCCUCUACACAUUCAAUAACAUCAACAGUAAGUGUUCUUCGAGCACUUACUGAGUGUAUAUCAUUGUGUUCAAACACAGCACCCACAGAUCCCACCAAGAACCCAGCUGAAACCUGUGGCAUGAAUAUGUAAGUACUGCCAUGCCAAUCUGGAGUACUCAAGAGAUGCAAAUAACUUCUUUAAUCAUACGUUUGCUGGCUUGUCUGUUUGUUCAUGGAAAAGUGGCUACAGCAUCCACGUUAUAUCUAUGUAAUAUUGGACUGAGAAGCAUCACUUGGCUUUUUCCAAGCAGAACCUAAAGCUGAUGACAAGCUGUUGCUGAGAAAUGGAUAUUUUUCUGAAUUUAGUUCUAUGUGGAAACAGAUGACCAGUUUCCAUUGCUGUAAGGUGGCUCUUUUGCUCUUGGUUGAUUCUGAGUAAUAGCUUUACUUAUGUAGAAAGCAGAUUUCAUUUGAAGUCCACUCAGAGAUUUGGUUCAGCAAACUGGAGUACGGGUUUCAGAAAAUAUCUUUUUAAUCUUCCAAUAAUAGAUAUCCUCAUCUAUAAUUCCUGGAACACUUCAUCCUUUGCAGCCAAGCAUGUAGAUAGUUUUGUUCACUGUGUUGUUUGCCACUUUCAUGUGCUUUUUCAACUUAGGUUACAAAUAGAACAGAAUCUCUCUGACUUUUCUCAUUAAUUGUUUGAAUUCCCACUUUUCCUCAUUAGCAAGAAGUCCAGUGUCUUCCUGAGAACUUCCUUUUCUCAAUCUAGGCACUUACUUGCUCCAUAAGGUAACGGUCUUAUUUCUAUCAAGGAGAGAAAUAACAGGAGCCACUAUCAUCUUCAUGCUGUCACUGUUGAAAAUUGGUCCUCUGUAGAGCUUCAGAUUCUUGCGUUAGUCCAUUAAGCUGCUAUAACAAAAUUCCAUAGACAGGGUGGCUUAUAAAUAACAGGAAUUUAUUUCUGACAGGUCUGAAGGCUGGUAGGUCAAAGAUUAAGACAUUGGCAGAUUUGGUGUCUGGUGAAUGCCCAUUUGCUCAUAGAUGGCUGAUGACCUUUCACUCUGUCUGCACAUGGCAGAAGGGGCAAGAGCCUUCCCUGGGUUUUUUUCAUAAGGGCACUAAUCUCAUUUUUGAGGACUCUGCCCCUAGGACUGAAUCACCUCCCAAAGGCACCAUUUCCCAAUACCAUCACCUUAAGGUUUAGGAUUUCAACAUAUGAUUCUAGGGGGACAUAAAUGCAGUCCACCUCAUUUGUUCACUCCAUUGUGUAUUCUUGCUGGAUCAGUUUCCUCCUCGGGCGGCAUUUGUGUUCCAUGUCUAGCUUGUAAGUUACAGCAGGCCUGAUAGCAAACUAUUGCAAUAUUGGUAUGGCAUGGGCAUUGAAUAAUCAAAAUGAACCCAAGUCAUAAACAACUGGUAAAGCUGCAGAGAGUACCAGCUGAUUAUGAGUCCUGGGAAACCCUUUUUAGUUCCUAUGUCCGUCAGCCCUUUUCUCCCACAGUAGCACCACUGCAUUGAAGUGGCUGAAUCUAUGGAAGCUUCCAGCUUGGGCCACAUGCUCACUGAACCGAUUCUCCUCUAGAGCUGUACACAAACUGGGUUGCCAUUCUGGAUACUCUCCUUAUUCAAGAAAUUUUAUUUCAAGGAUAUUUUUUGUUUUAUCAACUACAGGGUUCAUUUAGAAUCUUAGGGCAGUGGUCCCCAACAUUUUUGGCCCCAGGGACAGGUUUUGUGGAAGACAAUUUUUUCAUGGAUCAGUGACAGGGGGUGGGGGACAUGGUUUUGGGAUGAGUCAAGUACAUUACAUUUAUCGUGCACUUUAUUGCUAUUAUUAAUACAUUGUAAUGUACAAUGAAGUAAUUAUACAACUCAACAUAAUGUAGAAUCAGUGGGAGCGCUGAGUUUGUUUUACUGCAACUAGACAGUCCUAUCUGGGGAAAUGGGGGACAGUGAUAGAUCAUCAGGCAUUUGAUUCUUAUAAGGAGCAUACAACCUAGAUCCCUCAUGUGCCGCCACAACAGGAUUUGCGUGCCUAUGAGAAUCCAAUGCCACUGCUGUUCUGACAGGAGGCAGAGCUCAGGCAGUAAUGCAAGCGAUGGGAGCGGAGUGGCUGUCAAUACAGAUGAAGCUUUGCUUGCUAGCUGGCCACUCACCUCCUGCUGUGGGGCAGUUCCUCACAGGUCACAGACUGGUACUGGUCCAUGGCCAUGGAGUGGGGGACUCCUGUCUUAGGGAGCAGGGGUGGAGUUCCUUCACUUCUAGAAGGACCCCGGAUUAGUAUCCCAGGGCUGUCAUACAGAGGACCACAAACCAGGUAGCUAAAAACAGACAUGAAUUCUCUCACAUUUCUGAUGGCUGGAAGUCCAAAGUCAAAGUGCUGCCAGGGCCAUGCUCCCUCUGAAAUCCGUAGGAGAGAAUCCUUCCUUCCUCUUCGUAGCAUCUGGUGGUUUGCUGGCAACCACUGGCAUCCCUUGGCUUGCAGCGCUUCAACAUCUACCUUGUUUCAUAGUGGAUUCCCCUCAUGUCUCCAUGUCUCUGUGUCUCUCUCCUUUUUUUUUUUUUUGAGAAGGAGUCUCAUGUCAAUUUCAUGUGAGAAGGGGAUGAUAUUGACUUACGUCGUUUCUGUCUUCCACACUAAAAUAUCAGCCUGUUUCAUUCACUGCUGUAUCCCCAGAGCCCGGCAUGUAGUGGUAUCCAACAAAUACUUGUUGUGUGAAUAAAUUCUGUCUUUUAAUCCUAACUAUAGGUUUCUAAGUUAAAUAUUACUAUAAUCAUCUUACAGACGAGGGAAAUGAGGCUCAGGAAGAUUUGGUAACUUAUGUGGGAUCGCUCCGCUACAUGAUGGAAGGGACAGCAUUGAAGUGCAUGUGCUUGCUCUGUCUGCUAUUCCAAGCUGCUCAUCACACAGCUGCACCCCUGAGGACCUCCCUCCCAUUCUACCUCCACCCCUUCCGAGAGAUGCACAUGGCCACAAUCCACCAGCAGACCAAAAUUCGAUUUUUCCCCAGUUGGUUGCACUCACGCUGAGAGCAAAGCAAUUGCACUUUAAAUCCCCUUACAGCAGAUAUUUCAGAGCAUGUUCGAGAGAACCCAUCACACUUGGCUUUUAAAUCUCAUUUCUGGUUUUCUGCAAAAAGGCAAUUAAAUGAAAGGUUAGGCAGCUUUUAAAUGGCCAGUUCAAACUUUUGGCUUAUUUUUGCCUUGCUGUCUUUAUAGUCAUUUUACCAAUAUUUAUCACUAAUUCCCUUAGGGAGCCCUUAGAUCUGUGAUAUUUGAAAUAAUAAAGCCUUUCCGUUGGCCCUUUAAAAGCUUUGUGGUAAAACCACACCAUUAACAUUCACAGUUCCUCAUUUAUGAAGCCUGAUUGCACUUACUUCCAUAUUUCUCACUGUUUCUCCAAUGAGGAUUUCACAUAAUAGUGUUUGAAGGCUGAAGACUUCAAAGCAGACUCUUUACUAUUUUUAUCUUGAAAAAUAUUCAAUAUUUGUAUAAUUAAAGUGAAGUCUUCCUAGAGAAAAUGACAACUCAAAUAAUCUUAAAUGUACCUCCAAGAAAAAAGCUGUCAAAGUGACAUUUAGUUGUAGAGUCACAUUCUCUAAGGCCUUUGCUUCUCCUUCUGAGUUCUUACAAUCUUUGAAGGUUAUGUCAUGGCUGACUUCAAAUCACUUUUAAAAUUAUUAUGGCCUUCUUUAAAUGUGAGUUCUGAAGGUGAGGGGCUUUAGCUUCCUUUUGCUCCAGAUUUUGUCUACUGCGUCGUUACCAAGCAUCUUAAAAGCCAAAAACAAAAAUCUUCCUUGACCUGGUUUUUCCCACUAGCGAACAUCCUAUUUUUAUCUUUCCCUUUGCGCUAAAGGUUUUUGAACAGAUCUUUGUACCCUCUAUCUCCAUUUUCUCAUCUGCUAACUUAUAUGGCGAAGAUUACCACUGCCUUUCAACAUAAUUGGCCAAUCUACAGAAAGUUUUCAAGCUUUCUUUUUAAUUGACUGCCUCCUGCCUACCUCCCACCUUUGACAUCUUGCUUCUAACUUGUCACCUUAUUGGUGUCCAAGAUUCACUCAUUUAGGAUGUCUUCAGAGCAGCUAGACAGUUGAUAUAAUUUAUGCAUCAUUGUGCAUGGGCUUUCUGGGAUAUUGAUGGAGAGGAGGAGGAAACUGGAAGUAGUUCAGGCCAGGGCUAGGGAAACUGACCCAUCUCCAGGUCUCAGGUCUGUGAGGGAUGCUCACAGCUUAACACAUGGAGUCUAGAAAGACCUAGAAACUUGUGCUGGACCUUGAACAAUACCAGCCCAUGGAGUCCAAUACAGUGCUCAAUAGGAAUUUCCAGGAAAAGUCUUUAUUCAUUCAAAGAGGAUUUACCAAGUGUCAACUAUGUGUUGAGCACUGUGCUAGGCACAGGGUCCAUGAGGAUAUGUGAGACACUGUAGCUUUCCUUAAGUUGCUCACUAGGUAAAUAGAGAGACAGAAAGGCAAAUGGGCAAGUGCAAAAAUGCAUACAAUUCAGCAAUAGUGUUCAUAGUGGCUAUGGAGAACGCUCACUAACUUUGUUUAAACAGUUGUUCUUCCAAGGAUUUGAUAUGGAUUUGAUUGGAAAAGCAUGAUAUUGUUUUUGGCAAUUAAACACAUGAAUAUAUAAAUAAAAUGCUAUAGUAUUUUUUACUAAGAGCUACUAGAAAACCUGGGAAUUCUUAAAACCUUACCAUGCUACUUCCUCUAAAAUAUUUUAUUUUAUGUUAUUUUGUAAAUUUCCUUACCCACACAAACACCAGUUUUCUUCAUUUCUUAGUCUAUUUAAACCUCACACCCUCUCACCAUCUCUUAAUUAUUUACUACCAUCUGUUACUUCUCCUGUCCAGAAUGAAACAAAAAUGGCAGAAUGUGAAAUGAUGGAGAGCAGAUUUUUGACAGGAAAUGUUCAGAAGUAGAAGGAAAUAGUCAAGACAUAUAUGAUAAAUAAAAUGAUAACUUUAUACUGUAACAACUUAUAGACACACAUUUAAAAAAAUUGAAGACCUCAAGACAUACGUCUGAAUAGAAAAAAAUUAAAACUGUAAUAAGCAAUUAGGAAAAUAAGAAUAGUGAAUUUUUUAAUAUAUGGGAUGUAGUCAAAGCUGUACUUAUUGUUGAAUUCAUAAUCUUGAAUGUUUUUAUUAUUUAAAGAGAAUACAUGGGCUUUAAAUUUAUCUGCUAUUUGAUAGACUUUGAUGGAGCCAAAUCCCAAUGCUGCCACUUACUGAAUGGCCUUAAAUGACUUAGCCUCUCCUAGCCUCUCUUUCUGCAUACGAAAGAUGGAAUAAUGAUGGCUUCAAGGAGGAAUAAACCUAUGAAAACUGUUGAGGAUAGUGUCUGAUAUGAAAUAAGGAUUCAACAAGUAGUAGCUGCUAUUGAAAAUUUAAGUUAUUUAUUACAACUAUUUCAUAAGAUUUUUAAACUAAUACACUUAAAUUAUUCAAGAGUUUUGAAAUGGGCUGGGCACAGUGGCUCAUGCCUAGAAUCCCAACACUUUGGGAGGCUGAGGCGGGUGGAUCACCUGAGGUCAGGAGUUUGAGACCAGCCAGGCUAACACGAUGAAACCCCGUCUCUACUAAAAAUACAAAAAAUUAGCCGGGUAUGGUGGCAUGCACCUGCAGUCCCAACUACUUAGGAGGUUGAGGCAGGAGAAUUGCUUGAACCUGGGAAGUGGAGGUUGCAGUGACCUGAGAUGGUGCCACUGCACUCCAGCCUGGAGACAGAGCAAAACUCCAUCACACACACACACACACACACACACACACACACAAACAGUCUUUGAAAUUGUCUUAAUGGGCUGUACUCUUCAUUUAAGAAAUUCAUCUUUGUUCACUUAUUUUUACUUGACAUGAAAGUUUCCGGCAAUUUUUAAUUAAGCCCUCACGGAUUUUAUGUCAUUGGCUAUGUGAUAACCAAAUUAUUUGCUAAAAUAAUAUUCUUGCUUCUUUUUUUAGGAAUUGUCUCCCUAGAAGCAGUCUGUACAGAAAAAUACACCGAAUUUGUACACAAAAUCAGAUCUGAUUGGCAACAGUUGCAGAUGUUUUCAAAAGAUUUUCAUUUGAGAAGGGGCCCAUUUGGGUUAUUUAGAUUCUAAGAACUGAAACUGCUUUGUUAGUUCUGUUUUUCUGACUUCUGGGAGAGGAGGAGACAUGAAUUCAAUUAGCACCUUGGUAUUUUCUUUAUCCUUCAUUUCAAUACAGGAGAUGCUUCAUAUGCACAGGGGUGUCAGUUCACAUCAAAAGAAAGAGAAACAGCUUCUUGGUUUUUAAUUUUCAACCAAAAAGGAAAGGCACCAGUUUUGUUCUGCUCUAAUUAGCCAGUGCAUGACUUAGAGAGCAGGCAGAUGCUUUGAAGGUGUUGUAACACAGGCCUUCAUUAAUCUCCACACUGGCCUUUCACUUCUACUAUGCCUAGGCUGAAGGAAAUGGCUCAGAAAACAACAGUCUCGCAGAGCCCUAACUGACUCAAGCCAGGUGUUAUAAAGAACAAGUCAAGAGGGUGAGAAACUAACCUUGAAACCUCCCACUCCUUUCUACAUCAGAAGAGCAAAGUUGAUUAUUUUGGUUGGAAUUUAGAAAUUAAAAAAAAUUAUUCUAAAGUCAUGAACAAGCUUAAUUAUAAAGACAGUUGCUGUGAAGAUGCUGAGAUAACUGGAUUUUACCAACCUCUUCUUCUGGAGGAAGCCAGAAUGGAAGCCUGUAGAACAUUCACUCUACCAAUAAACGCUUGUUUUUCUAAUGAGGAAACGGAGGCCCACAGUAGUAAACUAUCUUAACCAGGAUGAAAUGACUAGGGCUCUGGUCCUUUUAUUAAGGACUAAAAUUUUGAUCCAAUAAUAAAUCCGUCGGUAAAACGAGUUUCCCUAAUGUACUGGUUCUAACUUGUUCCCUUCAAGGGGCCAGUGUCCCAUACAUGUAGCUAAAUGGGAUUUCUCAUUUACCCAGAGGACAGAGCCUAAAAUGUUCUGCUGUUCACCUCUCAGCAACAGUGGUGCAUCUGAGCUUUUGCAAGUCCACCUAGAGCCUCUAUCUGCUCAGAUGUUAAACCCAUCUAAUUCAGUGAACACUUUGUUCUAGUUAACUGAGCAUCUACUUUGUAUAAGGCACUACAGCAGUUCAGAGAUGAAUAAAAUCAUGAGAUUCCACUGUCUCCUAUAAACCAUCACUUUGGGAAAUUUUAGAAAUGUGGGUAAGCUCUAGGGCUUCCUGAAGCGUAGAAGUCACAAACUCAAAUGCCUGCAGAGGCUCAGCUGACAACAUAAGUGAGUGAUUCUAGCUGGGUGGAAAACAAUUAUGGGUGAGUGGGUUUCCAGCUGGGGAGUGCAUGCCUGCAUUAAAGGACAGCUGCUACUCAUUUCCAGCCAACUGUGUUUCUGUGUAGAACUGCGGCCCAGCGUAGCCAGUACUGAAGAUUUCUCAGAAAAAGCCAGGAAUCUCGGUUAGUGUAAAAUCUCUCAAAUUUCCAAGAGGAUUGUAUGGGGCAAAGGUUCUCAGAGCAGUUUGCAGUCUCUGCCCAUGCGCAGAGCAGUCAAAGAGAGUAGUGUGCAGUGCCCUACAUAAUUCUUUUUUAUUUUCUUUUAUGCCUUCCUCCUUCCUGUCUCUCUUUAACCUUUCUUCUUCCCUCAGGCUGGCUUCUUUCCUCUGCCUCCUCCGACUCCAGCCUGGGUUCAAUGAACAUUCAGUCAAGGAACAUGGAAUGUCAAUUGCAGGGAAAUGCUACCUGCUCUCUGCAUGGGAUCUGGAUGGAACUGUUUAUCACAGUGUUUUCACUCCCCAUUUUGCCUCACCAAGAGGUAAGCAGAAGACCCAAGCCAGGCCAGUUAGACAGAAUCUUCAGAUGACUAAGGUGUUGAUCACAGUAUCACCCCACUCAAGGCUUAGUUGGAGAUGAGCAGAAGAUGACUAAGGCUGGAUCAUUUUAAUUAACACCUGUACCUCAAAGAAAGACUGUCAAUGAGGCCUUUAUACUGACACUCCUGGUUUUCAUUCUUCCUAACACCAUUCAUUCGAGAAACUACCCAAUCUUUCCAAUGGUGUCUUUGGAAGACAGAAAAGAAGAUAGAGUUGUUUUCUGUUCUUUGCAACCAAGGAACUCUGAAUGACAGAGUUGUUGCUAGGCCUUUUGGUUAUUUUUAAUAUCUUGAAUACUUCUGUGAUAUAUAUCUUUGUGUGUGCCUGUUUAUAUGGAUGUAGCUUUUUAUAUAUUUUAUAUAAUUUCUCAGAAGUGGAAUUACUUAGUCAAAAGGUAUGAACAUUUUCUGAUUCUUAAUAUAAAUUGUGCAAAUGCUUUUUAAGAGGAUUAUACCAAUUUACAUUUUGUAUUGUAUAUAUAACAAAAAGUACUACUGAAAAAAAUUAUAAAAAAUUGUCUCUCCAUUGAGGAGAACCUUGUAAUAGAUGACAGAGUACUUGAAAUAGGAACAUAGAAUGUUUUCAGUUUAAAAUAAUUUCACUGGGUUAUUUACAGAAUCCUUACUGUUAUGGCCAAACAGACAUUUAUAGGAUGAUCUGUACCAAAUCUAUGUUGGUUAAAUAAAUUGCUUAUUCAACUGGCUUAAAUCUGUGAUAGAAAGAUGACAUUUACUGAAUGUUUAAUAUACACUUUGCCAGGGGCUUUUUAUUAUUCUAUGAAAUCCUCAAAAUGACCCUCCUAUUUUUCCUAUUUUAUGUGUAACGACAGGAGGACUUCGAGAACAUGACUAACUUUCCCAAGGGCUGUACCAGAGCCAGAACCAAAAUCUACUAGGCUUUUAAGCCUACAUUCUAAAACUGCAUCUCAACCUCCUAUUCUUACAGAACUUAAAGUUAGAAAACCAGAUUGGAGGCCCGAUUUCACCACUUAGUAACCAGACACACUUGGGGAAUUCACUCAAGCUCUUUGAAUCUUCAUUUCCGAAUAUUUAAAACUAAGACAAUAAUACUUGUUCUACCUACAUCAUAAGAUUUUGUGAGGCACAUAGAGAUAGUGUGAAAGAGUGCUAUACAGAUCAGAUGUUAGUGUGAUUCCUUAAAUCCCUGAACACCAUAGAUAAAUGUCUCUGACUGCUAUUAGAAGUUAUAAAGACUAUUGGGGCCAGGUACAAUGGCUUAUUCCUGUCUUGCCAGCACUUUAGGAGCCUGAGGCAGGAGGAUCACUCGAGGCCAGGAGAUCAAGACUAGCCUGGGCAACAGAGUGAAACCCCUUCUCUAUAAAAAAUAAAGAUAGAAAAGCUAGGUGUGGUGGCACACACCUGUAGUCCCAGAUACUCAGGAGGGUGAGGUGGGAGGAUCACUCUACCCCAGGAGUUUGAAGUUGCAAUGAGCUGUGAUUGCACCACUUGUACUUUAGCUUGGGCAGCAGAGUGAGACCCCAUCACUAAAAACAUAGAAAACAAUAAUAAUAAAGAAUACUGGGACCUUGGGAUACCCACUCCUCUCUUUCUGCACUGAGUUGUGAAACAGCUGAGAUAUAUACACACAUCCAAUGGAUGAGGUUGAAGAUAUCAACUGGAUUGGAAAUUUGUGGCUUACAUGUGUGGCCACAAUGAGCUUUCUAACACUUCCUGACUAGGUGAGGAGACAAGUUUCCUCACCCAGUCAUGGGCAGAGCUGGAUACUCUGUGUUUCUCCCCCACAGAACAACCUCUUAGUGCAGGUAGGUGGACGAAAAAGUCAGCCGAGAACAGGCUACUCCAAAAAGCAGAGCAGCAAAGGCACCAGCUGGUCAGGUCCCCUUUCCUAAGUAAACAAUCACAUAAUUCAUUUGGGACAAAGCCAGUGAGAUGGUGUGGAGAAAGAGAGGGAAGUUUCCUCCCAAGUUUUUCCUGGAAUUCUUUAUGGGAAUAUGAGGUUUGGGGGAAUAAGGCUUCUCUUUAACAGUGAAGAAUCACCAGCGCUAUUAGUAAUAGGAAAUAGCUUACAAAGAUCAUGGGGACUUUUUCCUCAGCUCGUUCUGCCUCCUACUUGGCUGAGUGGAAGGGAAGGAACCAUCUGUGGCUGCUGCAUAUGAUGUUGUCAACUUUGUCAUUCCACACCCACUCCUUGACGCCCCACCAUGUGGUCAUAAGACUCCCUUUAAAGUGUUCCUUUAAAAAACAAAAUGUGUUUUGUUUCUCUAAACUACAGCUCAGUGUCAGAACCCUUGUAUUGUUUGGUGUUGAUGUAACCCUUUCACAAUGUUUGGGCAACUUAUUCUGUUUCCCUGUGGGGUCCCAGCCGGGCCAAAGUGAGUGCCAGCCUCAUUUGGGCAGCAGAUGCCCUGUGGAAGGGCAGAAGGAGACAAGAGCUAAUUGUAACUUUGUGAUUAGCUGUCAUGGAUGCCUGGUCCUGUCAAUAGCGCUCAAUAAAGCCAGAAGGCUAAACGUUCCCUUCUGCAUACUGAUUGCUGAGUCAGAUUUCUCAGUGCAGAAGGGCUUUCUAGGCAGUCAAUUUUAGAAUAUUAGUCUUGGUUCUUAAGUGGUUAAAAUCCCUAGCUGGUCUUUAAUCUGAGCCUGGAGAAUUUACUUAUGGCUGACAUUCUGCUGCGAUAUUUUUACCCUCAAUAUAUAUGUCUUUCCCUCAUCUCUUAGAUCCCUGAAUCAUAGAGAUAUAUAUGUUUUAUGUAAUCAACUGUCUCCAGUCUCCAAGAGUGAUGGGUACAUAUUGUGUCAGGCUGAGAGGACAGGAGAACUUUCAAAUGCCUUUCUUCCUACCCCUUUUUCCUUCUCACUGUCUCCCACAAGGUCCUGCCACUUAUUCUUUGACUUAUCUUGACCACUGAGGUCUUUUGGGGCUACCCUGGUUCUGAUUCUUCUGAAGGUUUGUUGCUUAACUCUGUCUUCAGUCCUUUGAGCUGCCUUUUCCAUAAGUUCCUCUUUUGGCUAAAGUUGGCAAAUCUCCUUAUAACCAAAGAACAAAUAAAACACUAGCUUGCAAUGUUCUUUGUUGCUUCCGCCAAGCUUAUGCAGCACUUCCUAUCUAAUCCACCCAGCGGAUAGGUGAAUUUAGUAUUUGCUUCCUUCUAUUGGGUCAUUGUUUAUGUGCAUGUCUUGUUUCCUCAUAUAAAAUGUGAUCUUCUUAAGGGUGUUGGUCCAUGUUCUAACCAUCCGUAGAUAACACAGCACCUAGCAAUAUCUUUCAUAAAGGAAGUACACAGCUGGCAUUUAUUGAUUCAUUGCUCUAUUGUUUCUUUCUUUAUCCCCAGCAUUUCCCAAUAAUUUCAAACAUCUCCAUGGGAGUGCCAGAGAAAGCAGAUAGCUUUACUUACGCUACGUUUCUAUGCCCAUGGUAGCUAAAACAGAACCCAGAGUGACAUGUUUAAAUGCUCUCCUGUUAUCAGGACCUCAGCCUUCUGAUGCUCCAUGGCUUGGGGGCUACUGUUGAUUGUCUCCUCCCCAACCUACACUGUGUACCUAUGCUAGGCUCUUAAUGAGGACUAAGCCCCAUAGUAAAAGGGCCAGAUAAACAGAAAAUCAUUUUAUGUAAUUAUAGAAGUGAGAAUACUGAGUAUUCUGGUGUUCACAUAGGAUAAGCACAUCUUUAUUUGUAUGAGAAAAAUAAAAAGAGAGUGAAAAAUAGAUUACUUUGUAUGUUAUUUAGAACCCUUGGAUUGCAAGUGACAGAAACUCAAUUUGAACAAACCUAAGUCAAAAGCAAAAUAUAUUGUCUCAUGUAACUUUCUCUCAGAGAGUCAGGGUGGAAGGGGCUUUGGGAACAAGGGAAUGAGAUCUAGGAUUAGUUCAGUAUGGGUCACCUUCCUGUCCCUGAGGUGGUAGUAGCGAUGGUAGAGUCUUAUCAGAUGAAGGAGUGCAUGUUACGAUGAUGGUAGGGCUAAGCAAACAAGUGCAAGGGCCACUAUAUCAUGCUAUAAAUGGUUUUCUUUGAUAUCUUUAAUUUCACAAACGCUUCCAACAAAGUAGCACACAGAAAAAAGAACCCAGGGACUCUACUAGCGGGUGCUUGUAUCUUAAGACUUGUACUUACUUUUCACAGCUUACUCACUGCUUGUACCUGAGGCCAUAGAUGCCCUGUAACAGCUUCUACAGGGUUUCUCCUAAGCUAGCUUCCUUACGUUGUUCUCUCGCUUUUCUGAUCUUCCUCUUUUCCUCACCUCUGGGACUGGUGGCUGUUUGCAUGGACUGCCUUAGCUUUGCUUUUGUUUUUAUCCUGGGGACAAUGUCUUCAGAUUAUCCUAGACCAAAUAAAUUACAGCCCCUGGGCCAGGCUCUCCCUCCUCUAAUGGACCAUCUUCCCAGGGCUCUUCACCUUAGUUUAGGUCAAGCACUCUUGGAAAGGCCUAGUUAACAUAGACAUUCUAGCAAUUGAUUUUUUUGACAUGUUGUAAAAUCUACUCACAUUUUGUAAUUAAAGCAUUCCCCUAUGGAAACCAACACCAGCCAAGCUGCUCCUGGAAUGUAGGGUGGCCUCCUAAAUUUGGGAUGUUCUGGAGAGCUGUAUUUUGGGCAUUUAACGUAUUCUCCACUACUUAGGGCACAGCACUGAAAUUAACACCACUAAGUUUGUCAUGUCCGUGGAGUUAAUCUCAGGCAGUGCAGCCUCAGGAGUGGAACUGAUCUCUUGCGUGUGCCCAGCCUUUCUUCCUUCAGAAGUCAGCUGUGUUUUCUGCUGACUCUCCACAGGAACAUCAGUCCUGGAUCCUUAAACCACCACCUGGAGUAGUAAUGCUCUCGACAGUCCUAGAAGGCGUCUACUGCUGGAUCUCCUAAGCAUGUGACACAUUGUGAGAGAGAAAUGAGAAAGCUGAGCUCUUCAGAUAAAGCUUACUUUUUUACAAGCCCCCUAAUUAUACUGCAUAAUUAGUUUGAAUUCACUGAUAAUUGUACAAUUUUCCCGUAAGUCAUCUACACACAAUUCCCUCUCAUGCAACACUUGGCUUUGCUAAUACAUAUCUAUUAUGAGAGCUGUGCUUCUUAAGCGUAAAUGUUUUAUAUGCACUAAGGCUCUUGGCUUACAUAUAAACGGGCUAUUGAGCAAUGUGGUACCGAAGUCUUUUCUCCACAGCUCUCAAAUGUAAAGAAUUCAUUAGAUUGGCUGAAAUAGACUGAUCUGUCAAUUUCUCUGCUCACUUAAAAUGAGGAAGUCAUUAGCUAAGGAACAAAAAAUACAAUCUAUGUAAUUAAAAGAACAAGCUGGUUUUGCUCAGUAUAAAAAUAAGAAAAAGAAACCGUGUGAAAGUUAAAGUAUUUAUUUAAUCAGUUCAUUGAGGUUCUAUUAAAAAGCAUUGGAAUUCUUUGUGUGAACUAUCUUGACUCAAGUGGGCAGUGGUGAGCUCUUUGACCUUCAGUCCCUAUGUAGAAAGAGGGUUUUGCCGUAAAGUCUUACAUGGCACACGUGCCAAGUUAAGUGCCAAGGCUUACUCGUAAAAGCAUGCUGGAUUCUGUUUUAGUCUUUCAGUGAACUGAAGGGAAUAAACAAAUCCCUCUUGGAGAACUUCUGCUCUAUCCCUGGUAAAGUCUUUCUGCCAGAAUUCUAUCUGGUAGUUACCUUUUCCAAUUCAUUGAAUGUUGUCCCAGGGCCCAACAUGGGUAAUUUUUCUCUCAUUUGUGAUUAGUUCCACUACAGGGGAUUAAAUAUUCAACUUCUUGCCUUCUGGGAUAUACUCAGCCUUUAUCACAAAGCUCUUCCAGGGAAGGAACUUAGAUUCUUUGAAGAACUUCCCUGCCCUUUCCCAAACAGAUUCAGUUGUUAAUUCUGUCCACCUUGCUCCAUCUUCAGUGAAGGUUAAAAAGCAUCUGUGGCAAGUCUUUCCUUAUAAAGGCUCAUUAAUGCUUGAUAACUGUGAGGACCUGAUAUAAGUCAUGCGUUUUCAGAAAAAAUACACACAUACACACACUCACAACAAUACUGCAACGCAGCUAUGAUGGCAGCUGUUUCCCUAAAACUUUGUAUUCGGCAUCCUCUCUAGACAGUGAAUGCAAAAGACUUAGGUUGGAAAAGUGCAUUAGGUUUUGAUUAAUGAUUGGAUGAAGGCCAGUUAAAUUUUUAAAUCUGAAUGAGAUUGCUGACUCAGGAGCCUUAGUAGCAUAAUGGACAGACAGUCCUCAAAGCUUUCAUUAAAAGGAUUUCUGGUAACUGAUGUCUAGAGAAAUGAGUUGAAAUACAAUUCACUGCACCACUCAGCUUUCAUCUAAAACAGAAUAUGUAAUCUCAAAGAACUCAACUGGUCUCUUGAAAAAUUCAGGUAAAAUUCAAUUUAAAGAAGCUAGAGCUUAAACAUUUUGAGGAAAGGAAGGCUCCAGGAGCUUUGUGACUAUAUCACUUUAUCCUUUUGAAUGCCAUAUUUAAUUAUGUUUAUUGCAUUUUAAGUGCAGCUGGAGUCACUGAUCUGCUGAUAAAGUCUGGAAUGGUUUGUGGGAGGUGCUCAGGAUGUAUCAGAGACUGAUUUGAUUUGCAUUUUAUUUUUAACUUUGGUUCCUCUCUGAACUCCACCUUCUCACGUUUGGGUUUUUGUUGCUUAAUACCAGUCAUGUGACACCUAAUGAGAGGGAUAUGUUCUGAGAAAUGCAUUAUUAGGCGAUUUUGCCAUUGUGCAAACAUCACAGUGUACAUACACUAUCACAGAUGGCAUAGGGUACUACACACCUGGGCUAUACGGUAGAGCCUAUUGCUUCCAGACUACAAACCUGUAUAGCAUGUUACUGUAUUAACUACUGCAGGCGAUUGUAACACUGGUAUUUGUUUAUCUAAACCUAUCUACACAUAGAAAAGGUACAAUAAAAAUACAGUGUUAUAAUCUUAUGGGACCACUGCUGUAUAUGCAGUCUGUCAUUGACUGAAACAUUAUGCAGUGCAUGACUAUAAUAAGAACAAACUGUGCCUUUGCAGAAAUCUCCCCAGAAAGCCUCUGAAACUACCUUGAUCUUAGAAGCAGUUUUAGAAAUCACGGCCAAUGAAACUCAGCCAUUGGGGCGUGCCUGAGAUGUGUUUGCUCUCCUUUUGCCGUGACCCUAGAGGUAAAGGUGCUCUUUCUUCUGUUUCUCGUGUAAGAAUGUAAAUGUUAUAUUUUAGCUUCUUUUCCCAGUCCAGUAAUGUUGCGUUAAAUUUACAAGAUUGUAGCAGUGCCUCCAAAAGGGGACAGUAACAAUAGUUACUUUGAAAAUGGGUGAGUUCUUUGUAGCCCUCUCUGAGUUGAACAUUCUCGCGUAGGCAGUCUUCCCAGUUAGGCUGUGAGACUCUUGAAGGCAGCAAGUGUAUCUUUCACUCUUCCCUGAUCUCCUCAGCCAAUCCUCUGCUCCACAAUUCCAAAAAUCAGUUACCAAGCCAUUGUAAUUCUUUUUCUGAAAUGUGUACUAGACUCCUUUUAGGGUAUUUGCCCAGUUCACGAAGACCCCUGCCCUCCUUGGAAAUCUGUCCUUGCAGGCAUCUGUGUUCUAUAUGACUCUUAAUAAGACAAUAGCUGAUUAGAACAGUGAUAGACAGUUGCCACAAGCUGGACCAAUCGGAUUGAUAUUCUCUCUCUCUCUCUUCUGUUCUCUGAAAUCUCAAAUUGAGAUUCAGAAACAGCUCUGUAGUCUCUAUUUGUGGGUAGAACUGUAACAUAUGAACUCAGAGCUAUAAGGAUGCAAUAUUCUAUCAAGCAGAGAGAGAAGCAGAGGAAGCCAGUCUGCACAGAUGGAAUGCAGUAGCGCACAGAAAGAAGCAGACACUCGGAGAUGUCUGACACCUUUCUGGUUACAUUCCAGUCAGUUCAGAGGCCCAGACGCAUUCCUGUCUGGAAGCAUUGUGAUCCUUUUUUGUAAAUCAAUAAUAAAUCCCUUGCCAUCCUCUUUGCC